UGAGCUACGGUGGCACACGGUGGGCGACGACUAGGGCACUCUCGUAAUUCUAUCCCUUUUGCCUCCCCCUUUUUUCUUUUUUUCUUUUUCCUAAUUUAUUUACUCAUUUCCAUUAAAACAAAAUAAAUAAUAAAUAAAAUAAAAAAUAAAAAAUUAGGUGUUUCCUUUUCUUAGAUGUUGAUGUGAUGUAUCUCCCUCACGGCUUUUGUGUGUCCUGUUGUGCAAUAAAAUUAAAAAUAAAACCCCCAAAAAAAAAAAAAAAAAGUAGAGCUAGAGAGAGAAUGAGAGUGGAGUUUUUACUUUUUAGAGAGAGAAGGUGGAGGGUUUAGAGAGAGAGAGAGAGGGACAGGAUUUUACAAUGGGAGGAAAAAAAGGGGCAAGUGACAAACAGCGGGGAGGAGUUUAUGAGUUGUAAAGGCUCCACGUGCGGCACGUGUGGAGGAACCCGAGAUCUGGGCGAUUUAUCGCGAUAAAUUGAAGAGGAAAUAGACAAAGUGACGGUGAUUGAUUCUUUCUUUGCAUUUUUGGAACGCCUUCACUUUUACGUGCAUUAAAAGACAAGGAAAGUCUUGGGUGUGAGUGCUCACUGCUCACGCCCCUUCCCCUUGGACCACCACACCCCCACCCCAUCAUCCUACAAAUUUUAAUCAUCCCAUAAUGUAGCAGUGACGCACCAUCGUUGUUAAUUAUUUUACCUAUCUUACGUAACGUCAAAAGGAUAUUUGAUAAAAAUAAAAAAAAAAUUAAAAAAAAAAAGUCCAAGGGACAUGAAAGAUCAUGGUAAAGGUUUUUCCAUACAAGAAGGCCAAGUAACCGUUGGCAAUACCUUUUGAUUUUCAGCAACGGUGGGCUCUUCAGAGUAAAGCUUUUAUACUGACUUUAUACCUAACACAGCACAUUCCAGCCCUUUACUUGACCUUUUCAAACAGCUUACAUACAAAAUAUGCAAUUUUCUACACUGGGUUGUUCUACAAAGUCCGAAAAGGAUUGAGCAGCUGAUUUGCAUUCGGGUUGUUCUUUAGACCGAGACAGAUAGUAUUUUCCAAGGCAAAAAGGCUUUACUGUGAAGAGACGGUGACAAGUAUUUAAAUAGUAGGCAAGUGGGGUGGUUUUUGGAUGGCCUUUUUUCCAUUAAUAUUUUGUAUUGAAUGGAGGGUCUGUGUGUCUAUUCAUAAGUCGGUGAAUAAACCGUACCAUGGUGUGGUGAGUGGUCUCAUGCCUCAGUGACAUCAAUGCACUCUCUCAUGCCCCCUGCAGAGGUUAAUAACUGUACUGAAUCCGUCCAUAUCCACCAUCUGAUCUAUAUACUAUGGGUUUCCACUGAUUGGAUGGGAAUGGGGGGUGGGGGGUGGUCUAUUGUUGUUUUCAGUGGUCCUGACUCCACCUGAUGGUGUGGAGUGGGUACAUUGAUGGUAACAAACUAGGGAAGGGCAUUAUCAGUUUGAUUGAAACCAAUCACAUUUGUAGUCUGUGGUCUACCUGCCUUUUGGGGUAUGGACUCUCAUUGAAUCUGAUGAAGUAGUUGGAGACUUUAUGUCUAUUAUCUUAAUGGCACUAAUUAAUUGGCAUCUGGGGUUGGUAAAAUUGUAACUUUUUGGGGCAUGGCUGUAUGAUAGAAACCAUAGAAUCAUUGUGUGAUGGGGUGGUAACAUUUAUUUUAAUGUUUUUUGACAUGCAUUAAAGUAAAUUAGCAAAAAACAAUUCAUGGGUUUUUGAAUUCUCACCCGAUGAGAUAUUGGGCAUAUUCCCAUUUUUGUCCCAAUUAGAAUCCUCACAUUGGAUUACAGUUGUUUACAAAAAUCAGACUUAUUUUUGUUCUCAGAGGUAGAUUUUUCAACCACAUAUUUCUUCAAAUUGGGAAAAUCUAAAACAGAAUUAUAGCUCAUUUUUUUCCAAAAAUAAAAAAAUAAAAUAUCAUUAUUAUACAAAAACCAGUUUAGGAAUAAUCUAAGUUUUCAAAAAAACAAAUUAUUUUUGUAAACCUUUCCAAAUUAAUAACUAUUUUUUAAAAUAAUUAUAAAAAAUAGUUUUUGGAAACAAUUUUUUAAAACUGUUAUUAAAAUAUGUUUGAAAACUUAAAAUGUUUUUAACUUAUUUUUAAUCAUUUUAAAUAUUUAUAUAUUUAUUUUUUAAAAUACCUCUAAAAAAAAGGUAAAAAUAACUAAAGUGUAUUAUUUAAAAAUAUUGUAUUUUUUAUUUUUAAGAAUAAAAAAUAAAACAUAAUUUUUAAUUAUUAAACAAAUUUUUCAUAUUGUUAUUUUAAAGAAUAGAAAACUGUUUUAAAUAUCGAGGUUGUUGUGAUUGCAUGACUGCUUGGUUAAAUUGUGGCUGCUAAAUUUGCAAAUGAUCAUGAUUAAUAUCUUAAUCGUGUGUAGGAAGCUGUCGCCUGUACAAGAGGUGAGAGUGAGACAGUGAUGAAAAUACGAGUUUUAGUUUUGAUGAAUGACAAAUCCCUCCCAUUUUCAUCACUGCCCUUCACCUUUUUCUAUGCAAACACUUGGUCCAAUAGAAAAGGUGAAAUCAAUAAUAAAAGGGUUGAAAAAGCAAAAGCAGAAGGAGAUCAAUAAUUGCCAGCAAGGUGGAUUGGGCAUCAGAUCUCUUAUAUGCAACUCAACCUCUACUUCUCCAAUUGCCCCCCUCCUUUUCAAGGGCAUGGUCCUAUCACCUAUGUGGGUCACUCUCCCUUUACUUCCAUCAUGCCCAAAAUCCUUUCCCUCUAGGCUCUAUGAUGCCCAAUAACUUAAGUAGAAGUUCACCUUUAUUAUUUUUGGGCAUUAUUGGUACUAACUAUAUGUUGUAGUUACAAGCCAUUCUAUUUAUGGUAACAUUCUUUUUUAUCACCCUUCCAUCUUAAUCCAACUCAAAUUAACCUAUCAAUUAUUUUGUGGUUUCAUUUUAUCUUAUUUUUGAGAAAUCUAAAACUUAUUCUUACGUUUUAUGCAGAUUUUUAUAUCCGUUUAACUAAUCUUAUUUAAAUUAAUUUACGAUUUAAGUCAAAAUCCGAAACUAUCCCAAAUGAGACGUGAGUAUUAUUUUAUUAUUCUAUAUUACGGGAUAAUUAAUUUUGCGGGUUUUAAUAAAAUUUUAAAUUGUUUACAAAUGAAAUUUAGUUGAACGAAAGGCAUGUGAAGAGCAUCCUUGGAUGUUAAUAGUAUACAAAGAAGGAGUUGAUUGACUGCUAAUACCAAUGAUCUUAACUUGCCUUUUGCAUUGGGCGGUCGGCUGCCAUCAUUAACUAAUGAUCUAUGAUUGAGUAUAUUCCAAUACUGUACACGUGUCCUCCAUCCGCUGCACUUCUACAAAAGUGGACGGUUCUCAAGUACCCAGGAGCAAUUUUUUAAUUAGCACUCGCUUUACCAAAUCUGCCGCAUCUUUUCCCAAACACCAGGGUUUGGCUUCGUAAACAAGACUCAGCAACCAAAUUAAAAAUAAGUGAGUGAAACCCUGAAGUACGACGACACGUGGGAUCACAGCUGGAGUAGCAAUCAUGCCUUCCACUGGGUAGUGUGAUAUGCCACGUUGGCAAAAAGUGGGUGUCCCAGAAAACGUGUAAUGAUGGUGGAUUAUAUUGGAAAAGCAACUUUUCCACGUGGCAUGGCACGCCACGUCGAUAGCGUAGAGGGCUUUAUUACAACUGGAAGACAUCUGGCACGCGUUUUUGUUGUAAAUUGUCUGGCAGAAGUGGGCCACGUGGUGCCAGAGUAGGUCCACAGACAGCUCAGCGACUGGGAUUGUCGGUCGCUUUCGCUAGCUGUAAAUCAUCAUAAGCGGAGAAGCGUCCGUAUGCGGAUGACGUCAUUAUUAGAAACGAUUUUAUAGAAAUGAAAGUAAUUUUUGUUGGGUGGUGGGUGAGAUUUUUGAAUGAAAGUUCGAGAAAGUAGGGAGGGAGAGAGAAAGGAAAAAAAAAGUUUAAAAAAAGGCGGGACAGCGUGGCGGGCAUUUUGUGGAGGAGGUGGUGUUUGGGGAGUAAUAGAAUAUGGGGCUGUUUGGCUAAUAGGAUAGGAGUUCGGCUACGUGUAUGGAUCUGAUUGGCUAAUCCUGACAGAGAAAAUUUUGCCUAGUGAGAGAUGAUCUCGGGAAAGCAAAUAUAUUUGUUCGAGAAAUAUUAAAUUUUUAAUUCAUUUGCAAUAAAUUCAAUAGCAUAUGAUAUGAAAUAUUUACAUUCCAUAAACAAAUUUUCCCUUAUUUUGAUUUAGAUUUUUUUUUUAAGGUAUGGUAUCGGUAUAUUAAUACUAGAUUUUCUCAUAUAGAAAUAGAAUAAUAUGAAUAACUAUGAUAUCCCUCAUAGUUUCAACGGGAAAGUUCUCAAAAUUGUUUUUUAAAACUGUGAUAAUUUUGGAUUAAAAGUAAAUAAUAUCUAUACGAUUGGAUGUGAGUUACGAUAUUAUAUUUUUAUUUUUUGAUACGUGGAUUAUACACACGUUUUAAAAUAGCAAAGCCAUAUAGUCGGUGUAUUAUUUAAUAUUUGGAUAUUUUAUAAUUGUUAAUAAUUUUAUAGUUUUCACAUACGUGUUCCCAAUUUUAAAUAUUAAAACUCGUUUUAGGAAAAAAAAAUUUAAUUUCUAUAUCACAAAUAAUAAAAAUUAAUUUAAUUUACCAUGUUUGAGUUUUUACAUAAGCCCGUCUAAUUCCAUUAAUUCAUUUGUUUGAAAUUUUAUUAAAUACAUUUUAUGUCAUUAUUUUCUUUAGUUAGUUUUAUCGCUCAAGAUACAUGAGUUAUUUUAUAAAAUUUUAACGGAUGAGGAUUAAAUGUAUUUAACAAAAUCUUGAAAAUAAAUGAAUGAAAUUAAUCAUAAAUAAUAAUGCCUCCCUUUUCCAUACAUUUUUUUAGAAAAUCACUUAAUUAAAAAAAUACAUCUAUAUUAAUUAUCAAAUAAUCUUUAAUGUAAAAGUGAAUUUAGGUGAGAUUACUCAAUAUAAAUGUUUAUAGUAUGAUAUACAUAUUUGAACUCAAAUCCUAUAAAUUUUAAGUUUUUCGAAAAAUUGAUAAUUCAAUAUGAUAUCAGAGUUUUGUAUGAUAUGAGAUUGUAAACUCAAGCCCCUUCUCCACAAUUUGUAUGUUCGCUUCCCAGUCUAUUCCUCCUCUCCCCCCUACCUAAUUUGCAAUUCCGUGGUAUAACUCAACUCAGAGAUAAUGGAGAAAAUCUAUCACUACUGUGGCUAUUCAUAUUCAUCAGUCCAAUAUAACUCCAAAAGAGGUCAUUUUCAAUGUCUAUAUAAUACCAUGUUGCAUGUAGAUAUGAAGAUGAAUUGGUAACUGCUAGAAUCCAAUGUGUUGCAAAUUGCACUUCAAUUAUUGUUUCUGGAUUUGCUAAUUGCAAAGCUGUCUUCAUUUAUUUGAUGCUUAUCAUUAUUUUUUAACCUAUUGGUAAAAUAUAGGUGGCAAAUUUGUUAGGACGGUGGAAUUUGUACAUUAUGAUUUGAUUAUUAAUGUAAAAUAAGAUUUUUGGGUUGUCUUCUACUAUGGUCAAAAAUCUUGAUUAGUUAUUUUGCAUAUCAAUUUUUUCAACUUAAGUCGUAAAUGAAAUUAUGAAUAUGAAAACCAUUUUUUUUUUUACAGCAAAAGAACUUUGACCUUCAUUUUAACGAAGAAAAAAAAAACUAAGAGAAAUGUUUUUCUAUUGUCUUAUGGAGAGAGAUAAAAAAAAUAAGAAAAAACAUGGUUUUUUUUUUUUUUUUGGUCUUUAGAGAGAUUUUUUCACAGAAAAAGAAAAAGAAAAACUUUUCUUUUAAUAGUAUCAUGCUCUUUGAAAGUUUUAAACUUCAAAACACAGCUCCCUCGUUUUUUCAUUUUCUUAUUUAUUGGGUUAAAUCAGGUCAACCCAUUUGGGUGCCUAAUCCUAACUCCAACCGUUAUCAUAAAUAAGUGUUUCAAUUAUUCAUUUAUCAUUAAUUUACUUUUCUAACGAAUGAUAAAACUUCUUUAAACUUUCAAUAACCUGACUAAAAUGGCAUCGGACAACUUACAUUUAAUCUAUAUCAUGGAACGGUUUCGUACAAAAAUUACUUGGCAUUAAUGCUUAAUCACAUUGGAGGGCUAACCUAUUUUGUUUGAUACAUUGGACACACUUCAAUUAUUUAUACAGGCAAAUAAAACAAAAUUGUUCAUAAUUUUAUUCCUACUUGCAAAAAUGAGACAACCAAGUAGCCCUUAAAAUACUAACAAGCAUAAUUUGUAGAUUCUUAAGAAUGUAGGAGGCAUACUGAAUAUUGAAUACAUCUUUCAUAUUUUCAAUCAAUUGACUACCUUGUCUUAUAUCCAUAUCUCACAUUCAUAGGGUGGAUUAGAUUUAGUCCACUGAAAAUGAUGAUCACAAAAGUUUAUUAAAACAAAUGUGAGAUUGUGAUGUGAUUGAUACAAUUAUUUUUAUUAAAAAAAAGGGUCAAUUGUAUGAUUCAAAACAUCCAUACAUAUAUUUAAUUAAUUAAUUAUUAUUAUUUAUAAUUCAUGACCUCGAUUUUCCACUAAAGGAGUGGGUGGAAUUCUUGACAACCACUAAAAUAUGUGGGCAAGUUGUACUUUUUAUAUUUAUUUAUUAUUGUUAUUCAUUUUGUCAAUCCUUGAAUUGAUUAAGUCUAUGUUAUGGGAAAGUGCCAAUUUCUCUCUCCACGUGCAUAGCAUAUGACUAAUUUAUUAAAUUAGUGAAGCUUGAGAUCAACCUGCAGCUGCAUAAGGUAGGGAGAUUACAACUUUUGGUUCGAGGAAAUCAAGGAAACCUUUGAAGGAUUGAUAGAAAAGGGUUUGGUAUUAAUCAUUUGUGUAGCUUCUAUGCUUGAUGCUACUACUCCUAUUCAACCAUUAAUAUAUGGUUUUAAUUUUUUGUACUUAAAAUAGUAUUAAUUUGAGAAUGAAAGCUACUUUAUUGGUAUAAUUUGUAAGGAUUUGCGAUUAAUUUAAACAUAGCCGCUCGUAACCCACCAUAGAACCCUUUUUUAUUUUUUUUUCAAAUUCUUUAUUUGUGAAACUAUUUCAUUGAAAACAAGUUUUAUAAAAUUCAAUAUGGUUUUUGGGAUUUCUCAUCUGAUCGCUCCCGUUAAGCCAAGUUUGAGUAGGUGAUUAUGUUAUUAGAAUUCUUAGGUUUAGGACCGACAAGAGAUCCUCGUGAGUCAAGCUAAAAGCGGUAAGAUGUUAUUUAAAUUGACUUUUGAGAAUUAAAAAUUAUUUUUUAAAUUUAAUAAGAAUUUUUAUGUUUAUUUUGUUAUUUUUAUUUAAAACACUUAGUAGAAACUUAAUUUUAGGUUAUAAAAAAAGCCCUUCUAUAUUUGAUAAAAUCUUUAUAAUACCAAUACCAAAAUUUCAAAAUUAUCUUUUACCUUGUGAUGAAAGCCCAAAAAAAAAAAAGGAGUAAUGCCAUGUGAGGCAUAAGAGGCCUUAGCCCACACCCCACCAUUUACAAAGACAACAAAACCUUGGACCUGGGCCUCGGAGCACAGGCCCAAUGGGAGAAGAAUGGGUGGUCCUCUAUGAAUUUGUACGUUACAAUACUUCAUAUAUGGACUUGAAUGAUGUUCUUAAUUGCUGGAUUUUUUUAAAGAUAAAUGGGAUGGGAUAGUCUCAACAUCAUCAACUUCAAAUCAAUAUUUGUUGAUUCAUUUUCCUUUUUCAGCCUCUUGAAUCCCCAUGCACGUAACGGAUGUUGCUCUCACGAUUUCUCACUAUAUAUACAAACCACAGCAUACAUGCUUCCGCACUCGAUCGACAUGGCUCUGAUGCUGAAGCUCUUUCUUUUCACUCUUCUCUCUGCAUGGAGCCUGGGAUCCAUGGCUUCCGCACGGUACCUGGACAAGAGCUUCAGCCUUGCUGCUCGAUUACAUGCGGACGACGACUCAUCAUCCAAGUGCUGGGAGUCUUUGCUUGAGCUUCAGGCAUGCACUGGAGAGGUUGUCCUGUUCUUCCUCAAUGGUGAGACUCACCUUGGGGCCGGCUGUUGCCAAGCCAUUCAGACCAUUGAGCACCAAUGCUGGCCUGCCAUGCUUACUUCCAUUGGUUUCACUGCCGAGGAGGGCGACAUCCUCCAAGGUUACUGUGAUGCAACCACAUCCUCUUCGGCUCCCCCACCACCACCACCACCACCAUCCAUGGAGCCUAAUGACGUGGUUACCUUGGGUGGCUUUUUCCUCGAUCCUUAGUAGAACGCGUUCUUACUAGCAGUUAUGUCUUUUACAUAUAUCUGAUCCGCUAGUCUAAAUAUAUACAGAAAAGGGUGUUUGGAAUUAAUGAAUGAUUUCCUAUAUAUUGCCCCAUAUUUGUUGCAAUUAAAUUCCAUUUCUUGCUUGAAAAAAAGGUAUAAUAAUUUCCCAUCAUUGAUAGCACUAGUAGUUGUCUUUUAUGGGCUGGACGAGACACACAGAUCGACCCACAAUUCUGCUUACCCAGCCCAUGCUCAGUGGUUUGGACUAACAUAAUUGGAGGCCCAAAAGGGAUAUCAAUAAUAAGAUAAUGUUUGGAAGAUGAGUCUAUUUUUGUAUCUAGAUAAGACCAACUCAUCCCCCUCUAAUUAAUGGAGAGGUAACGGCGUGAAGGGCAAGAUUCUCAAGGACUCAAAAGCCUUUUUGCUUUGAUUUUCCAUCAAGGCAUCAGUGCCAUACACAUAAGUCCAUAAGGUAAUGAAUAAGGAGCGUCAAAUCAGGGUGGGAUGCGAAUAUGCGGAUUGAAAGCCAAGUAUUGAUUUUAGUGGUAUGAGGUGGGUCGUGUAUGGAUGGUGACAUCUAACUAUAAGUCUCUCAAAAGACUUCAAACUUCCCCCCAUCUCCGCCUUCUUUCAUGCUCUUUCCACUCUUCUUUUAACGUAGUAAUUUUUUUUCCCUUUGGGUAAUUAGGAUCUAAGCAUGGAAGAAGAGAAUAUUCGGAUGAGUGUUUCAAGAGUUCUUGGCUUUCUACACAUUGUUACUUCAUUUUCAAGCUGAGGAAUCAAUUGGUCAUUUGUUAUGUGCUUGUUUGUGAUCAUUGGGAAGCAGAUUUAGGGUUUUGAAAGGUCAAAUGCUAAUCAACAGAAGAAGAAAUUUACACCCCAUGCCAACAUAAAGAGAUAAUUGUGGUUAGGAUAGAUUUCAUAUAAUUAACUUCAACUAACUUCUCAUGACCUGCCAUUCCUAGUCAUCAUUCAGUUAGUUAUUUCCUUGCUAUGCCCAUGAUCGAUGCAUCGACCGUUUGCCACUUGUUUUCAUCCAAAAACCUGUCAUUUUCUCUCCGAUCUCGAUCCACUAGAAUGGAUCAAACUGGAUUCUUUCUUCCUCUGGAAUAAUGUAAAGCUAGACUAAAAUUUUAUACAUUCCUCUAUUGGUUGAUGGUUUAUUAAUGGUGAGAUAUCUUGUACAAAUUGAAUCAUCAAGGUCAUUGGAGUGGUGUCCUUGUUGACUAAUUAAUGGGUCCAUGUUUCAUGAUCAUAAGGCCAUCUUGCAUGAUUCAAAUAUACCCUAUUGAAAUGGUAUACAUACACAUGCACAUUGUUCAAAAACGCCCUAGAAAAAGGAAAGGAGGAUAAAAAGAAAUACAAGUCGUCCACUAGUGCCAUAUGUGGAAAAGUAGUGAGCAUACAGAUCUCAACUCCCCUAGAGAAAAUUGUCCUCGUAUGGAACCUCAACAAUGAAUUCUAGAGAAAGCUGUCAAGUGAUCACAGUCCAGAUGAAUCUUGAUUUAGAAGUUAGAAAAAUGAAGGGUUGUUAGGUUAGGGUAGUUAGUCAAUGGCACAAAGAUGUUAUCUUAAAAGUUGUGGAGGAGAGGAGAGGAGAGGAGAGAGUCAGAAAAAAGAAUGAACCUAUCAGAAGAAAGUAAGAAACAUCAAACUAUAAUCUUAUUAACAUGGAACGAUAAUCAUGAUAAAGCCACACAACAAGGGUUUCACAAGGACACACAGAGAGACCCAGGAAACAAGACACAAACUCAUCCAACAUAGCUCAGACAUAGAAAUUAUUUAGCAUAGUUGCUCACUGGCAAUUGUAAAUCUAAUUACACAACAAGCACACAUGCAUGCGUCUAGAAAAGAUGGUGAUGCUUCUUUCCAUGAGCCUCUUCAUCUUCUUCCUUGGCUUCUUUCUUCUCGUGAUGCUCGUGGAACGCGAACCCGCCAGCUCCCACUGCAGCAGCCGCGGCAAUCUCUUCUUCUAUCUUGUGCUUGUGGGCAUGCUCAGGGUCUUUCUCCGACUUGUGCUUCUCAUGCUAUAAUUCAAGCAUCAUCAAGACGAUAAGAAAUAGUUCCUUUGUAUAAAAUUAAUUAAAACAAAAAUAUUUUCAAACUUCAUGACACACGGGGCAUUACCAAGGCGUAAGCGCCAGCAGCAGCGACGCCGAGCUCGCCGAGGUGCUCGAGAUGCUUGUGGUGCUUCUCCUCCUUCCUGUAGUCAGGGCCUGGGUCAUCUGCUAACACUUCGGUGGUUUCGGCAGCGUAGCCGCUGACACCAUCGGUAGCAUAGCUGGUGUCGGAGUAGGUGGUGUCGGAGUAGGGAACGGCGUCGUCAACAGGCUUGUCCUUGUGGUGGAAGAGGUGGUGGUGAUGCUUCUCCUCCGACAUGGUGGUGGUGAUCAAAUUAGCUGCAGAAACGAGAGAGGAAGAUGGUUUGUGAACUGUGAAGGUGUGAUGUGGGAGAGUGCAGUGGUGGGUGGUGGGGUAUUUAUAAAUGCUGGUUGCGAAGGUGUCCAAAGAUCGUGGGAGAGAUGAAUGGGUAUUGGGAAUGGCCCGAAUGGGUGGGGCCUCACCAUUCACCAUUCUUAUCUACAUUUUUCAAAUCUCGAUGGCUCCUACUCUGUCGAUACUUUGUUUUUGUGUCGGCAAUUUCAUUGGAUCUUUAACCACGACAUUUUUUAACCACAUUUUUAGAUUUCCGUGAUAUUAUCAUAAUUGUUUUUGUUAGUCAUUCGUUGGAUUUAUUUCAAAAGUAGGAAAAUGUUUGAAAAAUAUACAUCAUCAUUUGCGUCUUUGAUCCACUCUCAAUAGGAAAUAAAUAAAUAAGAAAAGAAAACCACAAAGUCUCAGGUAGCAAAGAGUCCAUAUCAAAGUAUCAAACCUUUUUAUCGAUGAAUAUUUUUAGGAAGAACAAUCUAUUAUUUGUAAAAUAAUUUUUAUAUAUUGAGUGAUAACCCUUCAAUUCGAUAUCGUUAGAUCAUUAAGGUCGGCUUUUGUCCCUAUUCGACGGGUGGAUCUUGUAGUCAAACUCCCUUUUACCUUUGCACUCAAGGUCCAUCUUUGUUUUGCUUGAGAAAACCUUUGUUAAUUUCCAUUACCUUUUGAGAGACUUACGCUCUAUAAAAAUUAUUUAUCUAUUCCUUGACGAGGAAAUUCAAAUUCUUUUACUUAAAUUUAUUUUAUAAAACAUUAAAAAAGGUUAAAUAUAAUAAAAUUAUUAAAAAUUUGAAUUUAAGAAAUCAUUUAUUUUUUAAAUUUUGACAUGAACAUAUAUGGGUAAAAAACAAAAAGAGACAAAAACAAAAUAUGUUUUUUUGUGCAGUAAUCAAUUAAAAAAUCACUUUCAAUUUAAUAAAAGAUGUAAUUUUUAAUAUUAAAGCUUAGAGAAAAAAGAAUUGACUUGAUUGGAAUGAAUUACAAAAAUCACACCCCAAUGAAGAGGAACCCCAUACAGCACCUCCUUUCCUUUUCAUAAAGCAAAGACCUUUCAUCAGUAGGCAUGUGAAGGAGGGAAAUGAACUUGGCAGAUUCCACCUUAAAGUGCUAAAACAUGGCACUUGCCCCUCUUUCUAAUCAAACUUAACCCCACCUACAUUAUCUACAUUAUUUAUUGUACAUUAUCUUUCUCCAACUAAUACUAGUAUUUCACAUCUCACAAUUUUUUUAUUCUAUUGGAUGUGAGUCUAUUAUUGCAGUUAGGUCAGCUAAUCAGGAUCCCAUGGAUAAGGUGCCACAUAUUAAUAUUUUAGCCUUUUAGGUGUUGCUAUUCAUCCUCCUUUAUGACUUGGGCUCCAUUUCUUUGCUUGAACCUCACUUUUAGGGUAAUUUCUUUUCUUGGACUAUUAGUUUAUUUGUUGCACAUAAAAAGGCCACUUUAAUGGCCGUCAAACUUUGAUAAAAUAUGUCUUAUUUUGUACUUUAAGGUGGUGUUUAUUUUUUAAUUGAAUAAAAAAAAAAUAAAAAUAUUUGAUUUUUUCUAUUUAAUUAAAAGUAAUUUGUUGAGAUCGUUCAAUGUAACUAAAAUGAACUUGUUAUCAAUAAAUUUACUUUAGUUAUGUUAGACAAUAUUAAUAGGUUACUUUUAAUUGAAUAGAAAUAAAAGUCAUUUUAAUUAUAUUGGACAAUAUUAACAAGUUAUUUUUAGUUGAAUAGAAAAAACUAAAUAUUUUAAUUUUUUUUAUUCAGUCAAAAAACAAACAUCACCUAUAAAAAUUGAUAACUUUUAUAUAUUUGUACUAUGGUAGAUGGGCUUGGCCCACUUGGGCGUAGGGUAGAUAUUUGAAUUUUGAACAGAAAAAAAAAAAAGGGAAAAAAGGAAAAAAGGAAAGGGGAAAGAGAAGGAGAAGAUAAAUCAAUAAAUCAUAAAAGCAGGAAGGAGAGGUGGAAAAUGGUCCUCUGGUCUGGACCAGGAGAAAGUGGCCGGUGAUGGGGCCCAUUGGGUCUGUGUCGGCAAGGCCCCAUUUAUUUCGGCAUCAAUAUACCUGCCUGAUUGGUUCCAUGCCUGCCAUAUGUUUACGCUUUUGUCAAUUAUUAUAAAAAACAACUUCUUUGUCAAUAAACUCUUUAAUUUUUACUUCUCUAUCGUCUUUAAUGGGUGUGAAAAAAGUCAUACAUGCCUAUUGUAUUCUUCUCCUUUUUAGUAGGUAAAAACCUACAGGCUAUCCCUAAACUGAAUUUUAUAAUAUUUCAGAAAAUAUGAAAUUUAUUUUUAAUUAAUAAAAAUUUGGAUUAAAUAUCAAUCAUAAUUUCAUAACUGAUAUGGCCGGUGAUAAAGAACGAGUGAGUCACGCUAGGGCCACGGAUGUAUCACAUUCAUGGUGUGCCUGGGCUUAGUGGUUGAUGUGAAAUAGAUAUAGGUGUAGCGCAUAGUGUAAACGGGCCCAGGGAAAUUCAAAAUCGCGUUGCCACGUUCCAUAGAAAGGACAAGAAAUUAGAAGCUGGGAGUGGUCCACGUCUUCCAGGUAACCCCCACGCUGCUAACGAUUAUUCAAUGCCUUCCUACUCCAAAUCAAACCUAAUGUUCAACAUCGACAUGUCUCAUAUGACACAUCCUUAUAGAUGAAGUUGGUGAACUGUGGAGAAGAGAGAGUAAGGGCGUGUGAGCGGAGAUAAUUCACAAUUGAUUGGCAGGUUUCGGAUAUUUUCUUCGGCUUUGUCCUGGGUUUUUGGAAAGGUUUGAUUGGCCCGACCCAAUCCUACAACCCAUACUAAACCACACAAUCGAAUCCUACGAGAGACCAAACCCAACCUUAAAUCAAGUUCCUCAUUAUGGGCUUCAUAGCCCAACUUAGCACUCCAGCCCAUCCUAACAUUGGGAAAAAUAAAUUAAUGAAAAUUAAGACUAGAUAUGAAUAAUUUCUUUUAUUAUCUUAAACUGCUGAAAGGGAUUAGUUAUCCUACACAGCUUGAACAGAAAAAGAGCCCUCUAAAACUCACCUACUUGAGAUUUAAGGCAUAAAAAAGUCCUUACCUUAAUAAUUGUAAGAGAUCGUUGGAUCAAAUGAUUCAAAUCUGGGACUUGCUCACACAAUCAAUCCAUUUCAUGAGACGAAUUACCAGUGAGGCUCUCUUCACCAUCUACAAGAUUUCGGAUGUAGCGAGUCAAGUAAGAACUUGGACCAUAGCAAAUGCUUGAUAAAAACCCUCCAUACAGUAAGCAAUGGAUGCCAAGCUUAAACAGAUUUUUCCUCUCUUGGUUGGUGUCUCUCUGUGCUUCAUACCCACCAGUACUUUCUUCAUCCCAACUCGAAGAAUCCAUGGCAGUGCAGCCUGAAUGAGCCUGAAAACCCCAGAUCUUGGAAGUUUCCAUCUUUUGCAGCCAGUUGGAAUCAAUGGGAUCUUUAAAUUUUUUACAAAGAUGGUGUCCCUGGAUCAGAAAACUCCAAACUUUUGGUGUAAUACUUGAGACACAGUUAAGGAACUGCUUAGAUAUGUUCUCCAAUCCUCCAUUAUGAGCUUGACUCCCAAAAAAAUUGGCCUCGAAUUCAUCUGCUAGUGAGCACUCAUUGCAUUUAUGACUCUGAAGAGACGAAAGAUUUAGAACAGGCAACCUCCCUUUCACAAAGGAAUUCAAUAGUGAGCUUCUAGCAAGACUUAAAAGGGACUCCCCAGCAUUCAUCCAGAAGUUUGCAAUUGAUGCGAUCAAAGAAGAGUCAGAGAGGAAAAUACGGUGGGUUGCACCUGCAAGCAACAAGGAGUAUGCUGCACUGGUCUUGAUCAAGCUCAAGGCUUCCAGCUCAUCUCCGUCCAUUUCAGAAUGCAGAUCCAGUAAUUGACUAGCACGGACUCUGUAUGCAGAAGCCAGUGUUGUGUAGGCGGCCAAAGAGAGAUGGUGCAGGGGGUGCAACUUGAAAUUUGCUUGUGAUUUUCCCUCAAUUGGUUCUAACUGCUCAUCUGGAAGACCUUGAGCAAUAACAUUCUCAAGCUUCUCACAGCAAGCUUCAGGGUUGCCAACUGACAAAUAGUCAGCUAUAGCAUCAUCUACAUAAUCAGUCAACUUUCUGAUUUCCUCCUCUCUACACAUGUUAUCAUCUAUGUAAUUGAGACUAUGAGCCAAAGUUUCCUAUAGGGAAGAACAGAGAAAUGUCAAUCCUUGUUUUAUGACAGUACUAGAAUUCAGGCACUUCAAUUGCAGAUUAAAAAAUGCUUGUGAAGUUCAGACUUCAGAGUUGAUACAGAAAUAUUGUGAGUACUUCACCGUACAAAGUGGCCCCCGAAAAAUAACCAGAGUGGACAAGGGAAAGGAUAAAACAGGAUGAGAAAAGCUACUAUGAAUUACUCAAUAGCUUUUCCUAGUUCCAAUUGAUAUGGAGAAAAAGACUCCAACUGUCUGUCAGCCUUUUGAGAAGGAAAAAGCAGAUGUAACUAAGGGAGACAACUUGAAGAAACAAAAGAUAUGAAAGGCAAAGAAGAAAAUAAAUAGCACACAUACAGAUUCUGGAUGCAGCUCUAAUUGCAAAUGACGCAGCUGACUCAAGGGAGAGAAGCUCUAGGGCUGGUUUAGUUUGCAAGUUGGACAUAUGUACUUUGGUGUGCCCCUUUUGGCAUUUUAAUACAAUUUGCACUUACCUAUCAAAAAAAAAAAAAAGUUUGCAAUUUGGACAUAGAAAAGGCUUAUGACCAUGUUGAUUGGAAUUUUCUCCUCCCAGUAACGAAAAAGAUGGAGUUUGGUCUAAAAUCGAGAAAGUGGAUUCAUUUUUCCAUUGUAAGGAUGUCAAUCUUAGUCAAUGUUUCUCCUUCAGAUUUCUUUCAGACAUCUAGAGGAUUGUGGCAGGGUGAUCCUCUCUCACCCUAUCUCUUCAUGAUUGUCAUGGAAGCUCUACAUUGUAUACUCUCAAGGGCUGACUAGGGAGUGUUCAUUCAUGGCUUCAAGGUCAGGGGCAGAAGGGGUGAAGGUUUCCAAGUAUUCCAUCUCCUGUUUAAGGAUGAUAGAAAAAUUUGGAUCAACUAAGAUACUGGAGGUGGAUUGUAAUAGGCUUCAAGGUUGUGUUAGGUCUGAAAAUAAACCUGUAAAAAAGUAACUCAUUCUAAUGGGGAAAGUGGAGGAUGUGGUGAGAUCAUCAUCUUUGCUUGGGUGUAAGAUUGGAAGGCUUCCCACUUCUUAUCAUGGUUUGCCCUUUGGAGUGCUUCAUAAGUAUUGCGUUGUAUGGGAUGCUGUCAAGGAAAUGUUUGGUAAAAGAUUGGCUUCUUGGAAGGUGUGGUAUUUGUCAAAAAGAGGAAGAUUAGUUCUUUCAAAGAGCACUUUCUCAAGCUUAUCAAUCUAUUUUAUGGCCUUUUUUUCUAUUUCCAGGAAAGUGAGGAUCAAAUCAUAAAGGAUUCAGAGAGACUUUUUGUAAGGAAAUCUUUGGUAAACCAAUAAGAUGCAUUNNNNNNNNNNNNNNNNNNNNNNNNNNNNNNNNNNNNNNNNNNNNNNNNNNNNNNNNNNNNNNNNNNNNNNNNNNNNNNNNNNNNNNNNNNNNNNNNNNNNAGGAAGAACAUCCAAAGAAAGUGCAGGGAACUGGUCAAGGGGUGGAACAUUUGUGAGGUGAGGGAGACUUCUGGUAUAAGCCUAUGGAAAGACUUAAGAAAAGGUUGGGAGGAAUUCAACCACAGGAUAGCUAUCCAAAUUAAAAAUGGUAGCCAGACAAAAUUUUAGAGGGAUGGGUGGGUGGGUGGGGGGGAACUGUUUGAAAGAAGCAUUUCCUCUAUUGUUUAGUCUAGCUUCUCAAAAGAAUGCCAUUGUUGCAAACAUGUGGGAUGGGAGAGGUAGUGGAGGCCAGUGGGUGCAUUUCAAAAGGCCAUUCCAAGAUUGGGAAAUGGAGGGGGUGUCCUAAUUUUUAGAACUUAUUUAUUCAUACAGCAAAAGUGCAAGAAGAAGGGAAAGAUAUCUUAGUUUGGAAGGAGGAUAGGAAGAGAAUCUUCAGUACUAAGUUGUACUACAGUUCAUUGUGUGCCGAAUUUAGAGUGGACUUCCCAACCAAAGAAAUUUGGGGGCUCCCAAGCUCUUACGAGAUCAUGUUUUCUCACUUGGGAAACAGUAUGGGAGAAGAUCUCAACCAUAGAUUUGUUAAUGAAGAGGGAUGGACAAUGUUAAUAGAUAUAGUCUUUGCAAAGAGAGUGAUGAGUCUGCUGAUCAAAUUUUCAUUCACUGUGCAAUGACAAAGGUAUUAUAGAUGUUUGUUUUAUCAAUUUUUAGUUAGAAAUAAGUUUCUAGCUACAGUGAGGAAUAUGCUUCUCAAGUGGAAGUUUUUAAGGUAUUGGACAAGAAGAGUCACCAUCUUUGACAAAUGACACCCCUCUGCUUAUUCUGGUGUAUAUGGAAAGAGGGAAACCAUAAAAUCUUUAAUGGGGAAGAGCUUGCAUAUUAGAGAUUAAAAGAGAGCUUUAUUAAAUCCCUCUUUGAUUGGUCCAAAGUUCUGUUAGAAAUGGGCAAUUCUGAAUGAUGGCUUUCGUAAAUGGUCUUAGUUGUGGAUAGUUUGGUUUUGAGUUGAGGUUGUUUUUUUAUUCGUUGUUUUGUUUUUUUUGUGUUUACUCCCAGUAUAUGUAAGGUAUGCCCCCUUUCAUUGGCAUGCUCUUUUAAUAUAUUAUCCUUUUGCUUAUCAAAAGAAAAAAAGAAAAAAGAAAAAAGAAAAAUAAAGAGAACACAUAAAUCAGGGGAAGGAUGAAGGAAUUAAACCAAUAGGAAUGAGAAACAGUUGGGUAUAUUUUUUCGACAGAUACUUCAUGCAGCAGGGGCAAGAUGGGGGAAAACCUUACCACUCCUGGUGCCAUAAAUGUGGCAUAUAUGCAUCGUGUUCUAACUCCACACCUAGUACUAUAAUUUUCACAGAAGACGAUCACCCUUCCCCACCCAGCAAAUCUAAAAUCAAGUUGCAAAAUGAAUCUUCUAGACUGCUUUCGGAUUUCUCCUAAACAUCAAAAUAAACAAAUGAUAGGCAUACUGUUCCAUAGAAGUCUUACUUGCAAAACAAGAUCCACAUAAGUAGGGGGCGAUGCAUUACAACGGUUACAGCAACAGGAAAACCAAUACUUCACCCAUAACUCUGCAUGUCUAAUUUCCUGGAAAAUCAAAUCAGUGCAAAUAAAAGCGUAUAACGUGAACUCAAAAAACUAAAAAAAAAACAGAGUAUAGAAGGAUGAGUUGGAACACAUUUUAGCACAAUGCCACUGAGUUCACUUACACUAUGGUGAUUAUGCAAGUAAUAUAAAAUCAUGCAACUUCUCAUUAGGUCGACUCCUUGUCAUUUUUCGCAAUCACUUCAAACAUAAGGCACAAUGCAAUAAUCUAAAAGCUUAAAAGUAAUAGCAGAUAUGCCAAAUUUACAAGCACAUUUUGCACAUUCAAUCUCUUAACAGUGGAACUGUAGAUACUGAAAAUGAAGAUUACCUUAGGCUGCAACAGGUCUAUGUAUGCAACCCACACCUCCUCACCCUUUUUAAUUGCCUUGAUGCUCCGAACGAUGAUUCUUGGCCCGUGUAUGUUGCAUCCUUUACUAGAGAAAAUCAAUUACAAGUAGAUAAUCAAAAUAUCCAAUAAAUUCACAACUGAUUUUUUUGAGAAACCAAAUUGAAAAAAACAUAAAAUAAUUAAAAUAAAAAAGAUUCAAUCACCUUCUAUUGAUUCACUUUUGCUACGAACAGCAUUCUGUAUCUGAAAAACAUUUCGGUUUCAUAAUUUUCAAAUCCUUUGAAUAUGGUUAAAAUUAAAGAAACAAUUCAGAAUUUAGGAAUAGUGAUCUAUUUUUCUUUACUUCAAUUUCAUCAUUGCCUCCAGGGAUAAUCUGGAGCCUCGACUCGCCAGAAAACUGGGGCGUCUCAGGUGAACGGAGCAAGAAACGGUAACAAGCAUUGGGAGAACAGCUGUGAUUGAUCCAAGAGAAGCACCAAUCGUAGACGGCUAUCCCUAGGGCGGACCCUCCAUUAACCUGCACUUCAACUGCAUUGGUGAGGACCAGGCAGAGCAGGGCCUCCUCCAGUUUGGAGUCCCCGGAGAAUUCCGUACCAUCUCGCAUACAUCGGGCAACGGCCAUGGCCUUGCCGCCGUCUCGGAUUCUCGUCAGAGUCUCAUCACUUUCCGAGUUGUGGGAGGGUGAGAUGAGGUGGUGGAGGUUGGUGAGUAGGCCGCAGAUUCGAUGGAGCGGUUGGGUAUGGAGGGGAGGGAGGUGGAGGAUGUGGAGGAGGCGGAGGGCAGCACGGAGGUCGGAGGAGUGAGCGGUGGAGGGGUGGGAAUGGCGGAGGAGGAGGAAGAGGUGGUGCUCGGCGCUGGAGAAGUGGAGGGGGGAGUCGGAGGCGGAGCAUGGUGGAGAGCAGUAGCAGAGAAAGGAGGAACUAGGGUUGGUAUUGACGAGAACAGUGGGCGGUAGAGGUGAGAAACAGGCGGAGCAGUGAGAGCGAAGGUGAGAGUCGUGGAGAGAGGAGGCUAGGGGUGGGAGUGGAUGGGUCAGGUCUAACCCCAUUUCUGUGUCCUCUCUCAUUCUCAUCUCCAUUCUUUACCAUACGGAUUGCAGGCAUUCUCAAUUCUAGUUCUUAAUACUGCUGCUCCCUUCUCCCCCUUCCUAAACCAUCCAUUUAGGAAAGCAGAAAUAUAACCACAGUUUAUUUACUUAUUUAUGAUGUUUCUAAUACACAACACCUGCAAAAAUUAAUGACAAAAUCUGUCCCAAUGGAAGGUAGACAAGAGCACAGACAUCUGAGCACAUAUUUACCAGCCUUAUCAUAUCAACAAACAAUAGUUGAAAUGCCAUUCUUCCUGAGAGUUUGGCCCCUUGAUCAAGACUGCCAUGAAGCAAACCCAUAAUUCAUUAGAGGAGGAUACCAUGUUUACUCUCAUUGGCAGUGGGCGGACCUGGGAAUGAGUCAAGUGACAGAACUCUGAAAACUUGCCUUGAGGAAAUCCCUCAACAAAUCCAAACAUUACUGGGUUGCCUUCAUAAUAAUUAUAAAGAAAACAAAUUCUUCCCAUUGAAUUUCCAGGACAAGUGCAACAGCUGUGCCAAUUUCCAACAGCUUAAACAAUUGAGUAAUCAAAAUUGUUUGUCUCUACAUCAACUGAUGGAGUCCACCGGACCAUGAUCAAAUUUCAUCAUAUUUUACAGAUAAAAUACCAGUUAUUUAGAAAAGCAUGGAUUGUGAUCUUCCUGUGCAGUUUUCCUUCAUCACAUCCCGUAUGCGACUUCAGUUGCUUCAUUACAUCAGUUUCUGAUUUCUAACUUGAACAACUGUAUUAACACCCAAAAGGAAAAAAAGGAACUAAGGGACUAUUUAACAGUUAAGACUAGAAGGGUUUUAGAAUUGAACUGGAAAGGGUUCAAAUAGAGGAAGAAGGAAGAAACUCACCAAAAGAACUAUUGUUUCACUUUUAGUGUGGUCUCAAUGCGCUGGAUGAGCUGAUCUGCAGUCAAAGCACCUUCCUGGAAUUCAUCAGACAGGAAUAGUAACAAAGAAAUUAGAACAUAAAAAAUAAAUAAACUAGUGGCAAUAUAACAACCAAAAGAAAAAUACAAUCAAAAGUACAGUGAAAACCAAGAUAAACAAUUGACUAAGGUGCCACUGUACAACCAGAGGCCCAACCAUGCAUUGUAUAAAUGCGGAAGAAAAUUCUGUAGACAUCAUCUCCUAUGCCAAGGAGAAAACCUUCAUUGGCUAAUCCCAUGAAAAAGUAUAAUUCAAUAGAGUCAAAGUGUGUGAAAACCAAGCCAGUGCUACAAGCAGGAAGCCUAAGAACUGAGUCAUUGCCAGUGUAAGCUUUGCCUGUAAGUAAAGAAGGCAGUUAACAAUCAUGUUACAGGGGCUGCCCAUUCACAGGCACGUGCAAGAUGAAAAUCAUGUGGGCAAUUCAUGACAAUUUCCCAAAAAGGUUUUUUUGUACAAGUGCAUACUAGAUACGAAUUCCACUUACAAAGCGAUCAUAUGGCUUCCCAUCUUUAAAUAUGAUGAAAGUAGGCAAUGCCUCUAUUCUGUACUUAUCAGCAAUGCUCGGGUAUUUCUCAGUAUCAAUUUUCACCACCUGGAUCUUGUCUUUCAGAGAAGCACCGACUUCGUUGAGGAUAGGAACCAUGAACUGACAAGGGCCACACCUGGAAACCAGUACUUCGUUACUUCUAGUUUUAUUUAGUUCCCUCAAUAUCUCAUAGAAAUAGAGACUCCUUAGAACAGCACACCCUCAAGGAAACACUUUAAUGAGGGACUGCCCUACUGAGUAGCAUGUCUUAUUGAUGGAAUAUAAUUUGGCUUAAAAACUCACAUUUUGCUGCCAAGACAGCUAAUUCAGGUUAUCAUCUAGCUUACAACAAAAUAACAAACCAUCUCAUAUCAUUUUCCUUCUAUUUAAAGAGCAAAGAAACGGUGGCAAGUAUGGGAUUUAUUUUAUUUCAUUUUUUUUUUUUAAAAAAAAAAAACUCACCAAGUUGCAUAGAAGUCUACCAGAACAGGUUUUUCAGAAUUUGCUAGCAAUUCAUCCAAGGAAGAAAAUGUUUGCUUCUUUGCUUCAACCUAAAGAAAUCACAACAAUGUGGAAGUUACCCAUUAAUUUAUAGACACAUUCAGAAUUUGGUAGUCCAACCAUGCUUAUCUAAAUAUGCCAAUAUAACAGAGUCAAUUAGGAAAAUGUCCCAAACUCCUAAGAUAUAAUAUUAACAUAAAAUGUUUGUUCAGAAUGCAGAGAAACAAAAACCAAGAUACCUGUAAUCUGACAUUACAAAAAAAUGAGUCAAUUUACUCUGAGUCAAUUUAAAUUGGAAUUUAUGAACAUUCCAAUAUACUUUACUCUGGGUAACAGGCAGUUAGUAAGCAUGUCAAAUCAAAUAUUUAAGCACCAGUUAGAUAUCUAGAUUACAACUUUUCAUGACUCUUUAACUUUGAAAUCAUAGCUUCCAACUUGGAAGGUUAACAGGCAAAGCAGUGCACAAUUAUAUGGUCACUAUGACACCUUGUUUCUAGAUUAACUACUAGUCUAUCAGAUGACAAUUGAGUGCUCGUAUGCAGCGAACAAUGGUAUAGAGCUAAAUAGCAGAUGAAGUACAUUAGCUGGUUUACAUUGUCAAAUUGGAAACUAUGGGUAUGUUUGGAAUUUGCUUUCAAAAACAGUUUUAUGUUUUUAAGAACAAAAAUAAAAUAAAAUAAAGGAAAACAUGUUUGACAAUCAGGAAACAAGAUGUUUUAUGAGAAUAUAUUUUAAUUGUUUUCAGUCGUUUUCACUUAAUUUUAAAUAUGUUUUAAAGGAUAAUCCUACAAAUAUGGAGAAUGAUUGAAAAUAAAGCACUACAACAAAAGUUAUUUUAAAAAACAUAGAAAUUAGGUUGACAACAUUUCAAGUUCCAAUGAAAUGUUUUCAAACAGACUUCCAUUCUAGAAAACAUUAAAAAACAAUUUUCAAAAACCAUUUUUCAAAACUGUUUUUGAAAACACUUCCAAAUAGAGUCUAUAUAACUCUAUUAUUUCCUUUUAUUUUUCUCUAUUAAGAAAACCAUGUGUUGUCUGUCUCUCAUUUACAUGACCUAACAUUUCUCCUCAACUCAAGCGUUCACACCCUCAAUUAAGCAACCCAAACGCACUUAAUCCCAAAGGUUGUGUUUGUGUUUGGCCCUCGCAACCAACAAAUGCAACGACAUGAAAAUGCUGAAAUUAACUUCAUUCUCACUAACCAAUCUUAAUUUUUCCAGGAAUGACUAUCCUCUAAACAAACAUAUGCGCAAUCAACAAGAAAAACGCACGAGAAAAUAAAAGGCGAAUCCUUGCAUCUAGCACAAAAUGUCUCCACCAACUGAUCCAACACACCACAACACAUUCCCAAAGCAGAAUAUACAAACACCGUUCACAAGAAUUCGGAAAAUUCCAAUAAAAAAAAUCCACAACAUUCUGAAUUUUAAUAAUAAUAAUAAUAAUCAUAAAAAAGGCACCGAAGCAAAACAAAUUACCACAGGAAGGGUUCGAGGCCUAGACGGGGAUGAAAUUCCGUUGUUGCCGAUUCGAAUAGGGCGGAGCUGCCUAGGAAACUGCAAGGGGGACGAUGAGAAGAGCUUGGAAGAAGGGGAGGAAGAAGAAAAGGCUAAAGGAGUGGGGCGUUGAGAAUUCAACGCACGAACUGUAGAGAAAGUGAGCGAGGUGGCCAUUGGAGAGAAACCCUAGAACCAGAUGUUUUGGAUAAAAAUGGAACUGGACCAGAAAAAUCUGCUGGGAAGGGAGGAGAAAAAGAAGUGCGGAGACGAAGAGAACAAGAAGAGAGAUGUUAAGGUGCGGAGGUAUAGUAGAAUAAUAAAUAGGAGGACCAGAUCCGCGGGUGUGGGAGUUUCACAGCUAUGAUCCGACGGCCAGCAUACAUUAUCACACUUGGAGAUCCCAGCAGCCAGAUGCGUGUACUCUCCAUUUUUUUAUUUUAUUUUCACGUGAACCCCAAGGGAAAAUGACUACUCCAAUAAUUUACAUUUUCUUUUACCAAAAAGAUUAAAAAUCGGAUUCAGUAUCCAGAAAGGAUAAAAGAUUUUAAAUAAUUCAAUAUAAAACAUAAUGAGAAAAUCUUUAUAGAAUCAAUCCAACCACGUUCUAGUAAGAAACACCAGUGGGGGCAAGAAGUGGAACUACCGGUAAGCCAACAAGAUCCUCUUCAAAUUCAUGCUACAUUUUAUUAGACCAAUGUCUAAGGCCAAAAAUGAAGACUACAUGUGAGGAAAACGGUUGAGUCUAAAUCCUACAAACUUAAGUUUUUUUAAAAAUCGAUUAUUCAAUGGAAUGAAGAUGUAAAUAAUAAAACAAUGAGACCGGACAUGGUAUAAAACAAUAGGAUCUAAAUGCAUGUAUGAUACGACCUGAUUGAUCAUGCUUUUUGAUAUCGAUUUGGUAAUGUAAGGGGACCUUUUUUAACAUUACGUGAGUUUGGUAAAGGAGGCUGACUUUAUGGGCUGGAUGAACACGUAUGACUGGAGAUGAGAGGAGCAGCAAUACAAUGUUGAUCAUCACUUUACGUAGGCUCCUGCAUGCCACAAUGUUGAUCGUCACUUUCCAGAACACUAAAACCAUUUCAGGGUUCAGAGAAAAUUCGUAAGAGUCCGCACUCAAAACAGCUCUCUUAACAAUAAACUUGAAACAUCAAAUAAUGUUAAAUUACAACGUGGAAGGUUGAUGUCGUGGCAGUAAGUUAUGGCCAAACCUCAUCCAUCACUAGUCAAUGUGAGUGCCAGAAAAACUACUGUAAGUGCAGAGAAUAUGGUUGCACAGGCAAAUACCCACAUCGCCCUGCUCCUCACCCUGCCACUACUAUGGCUUGCCGGGCUGCCCAUCUCGACCUCUUUUAGAAGCUCCCUCACCUCAUCCAUAUUUGAGUCUUUUGCAGCUUGGGUUAGUCUACCAUGAAUUUUAUCAAGCCUACUCAGCCUUUUACUUCGGGAUGCAUCCUUGGCUGACCAGAUAAAACCCGUCAUCUUCCACAGAAGAAUGCCCACAUAGAUGGCCACAACACAGUCCACAGUGUAAUGGUGGCGUUCCCGUAUUUCCCUUUGGGCACUGUGCAAUACAAACAGCCAUAUGACAGCCGAGCUGAAACCUCCAUAAGCUUCCUGCAAACAUUUUUUUUGACACAGAGAAAGACACAAAAUUUAGUAUUAUGCAUUUUAAGCCUCAGUGCUACUGAUCAAUAAAUGUCAAGAGGAGGGAUUGCAAGUGUUUAAUAAAUAUACCGUCCAAGCCAUAGCAGUCAGUACUGCUACAAGAAUGUGGCCACUGUAUAUGAGGUCAUUGCAUCCUCCUCCAGCUUUCUUUAGCAGAUUGUACCAUGACCCGUCAGUAGUAGUUGGUCGCAGGAAGUCUAUAAGGAAGCUCAUUGAACCCCAAUCAGGACGAAAGUCACCAAGGUAAUUUCCAACAUCAGCUGAGAAAGAGGAAGAGAAUUAUUAAACCCACCUCCCUGUAAAACAGGAACCCAUCUGUAGUAGUUCUUAGGGUAGAUCUAAUAAUGGAGAACAUAGAACUCAUGAAGGUUACAGAAUUUAACCCUUUUUCCAACAUUGAAAACUAAAGAAAACUCUCUCAGGGCUUCUGUACAUGUCAACAAUGAAUUUAGAUUUCCAGGAGAUUGGAUGUUGAUUGAAUUGAAGAUUCACUAAAAUCUUGUAAGCACCUUAGUUAUUCCAAACCCAAUAGGCAAGUAGAAGAUGCGAACCUAAGAAUUAAUAGGACUUAUAAAGAAAUUUCAUAGAGAAAAUUGAGAUGAAACAGUGAAUCUGGACAAUAUGAUUUUUGCCAUGGGUACUCUAGCAGUAAUCAAGCGAAUAUAGAGCUUAAAAUCCCUUUUUCUCGCCUCAAGGCUCCACUACAAAACCCCUUCAAAUGCAUUAAACCCAUAAAAUGAGAGGAAAUUAGUUGGGUACAAAACACAUACCAUAGGCUAUAUCACGUUCUAUUACUUGACGAAUAGCAGCUGGAUCCGAAGCAUAAGGGACAUAAUAUUUUUGAGCCCAAUGAUGUGGGUGUGCAGGAACUCUGAAGCGGGCAAAAGCACACCAAGGCCGGGCCGAUGGCAGAAUUGUAGAUACAAAAGUUAUGGCCCGAAGAAAUCGCCCUAUUGCCAUGGUGAACAUGUACCUAGCACCUAGCCCAAGGCCAGGAGCUUUUACAGAGUCGAAUAAUACUGAGAAAGCCAGCAUCAUGAACAGCAUCAAAAAAUGGUGCAAUCCAAUAAUAUGCGCUCUAAGUAUCUCAACCACCGUAGGAGGAAGUUUCUCAUUCAACGCCAGGAGAAACCACUGGCCAGUGUCAGGAAGGGGAGGAGUAUCACUGCCAGACAUGAAUAAGCCAAUUGAUUGUCUCAUUGCUCAACAUACAGUAAACACAAAGUUGAACUAGUGUUGAAAGAUUAUGAUAUUAUCUUGGUAGAAAUAUUCCUGAAAAUGGACUCAGCUGUUGAUAAAUAUCCAUGAAGCAUUCUGGAGGAUCAGAUCCACUAACAGAAACUAUCACGUCUAAUAGAUGUUUUCUGAUCCAGUUGCAAUGAGUUGAUAGCAUUUUCAGGUUAUAUCAAAUGAUUCUUUAAAGAAGAAAUUGCAGCAUCUGCAAUAAUUAAAUCUCUGUCUCUCUAUAGGGAUUUUCAGAUUCAGCUUGAAUAAUGAUCCUGAAAAAGAGGAAUCAUUGCAUCUGUAUGUAUUUAAAUCUCUCAGUCUCCUGAGAUGUUUUCAUAUCUAGUUCAAAUGACGCGUGACUUUAUUUUCAUGUUAUAUCAAAUAAUACUUUAAAAAAGGACCUUUUUUAUGGGCAAAAAGUGAUAUUAUCAACAGCGCAUAAUCAGAAGAGGGCACACCAAAGCUUCAAAAAAGGACUUGUUGCAUCCUAUGUAUUUAAAUCUCUCUUUCUGUGAGUGCGUGCAUCAACAUAUAAAGCAUUACCUAUGUUAAGGAAUCAACAUGAUACGAAUAAAAGUGUCCUUGUUAGGGAUGUUUGAAUAUAAUAACACUUAUGUACAUACAGCACAGUUAUAAAUUCUCUCCUUCUCUCUCUGUGUGUAUGUGAAAAUUUUCAAUCUUACCUACAUGCAACCUGACACCAAUACAAGUAUCCUCAUUGCUGAGUGGUUUGCAUAUGAUAAGAACAUUUAUGUGUGUGUAUAUAGUUAAGGGUUGGGCCCCAAUUUUAAUGAUGAUUUUUAGCAAGAAGACUUGAAAAUCAAUUUGAAACCCUUAGUUAGUGUAAUCGGUAGUCUUUUUGCAUAUAAGCAAAGUGAGGGCAUACUAUAUAAGAAUGAAAGACCUUACUUUAACUUAGGAGACCACAUUGAACCUUAAUUUUUACAUGAAAAUCUCUAAAGGUUUUCUAAAAAGUUUAGUGACUUAACUGACAUUUUUCUGUACUUGAAAAAUACUCAAAAGCAUUGGUUAAAAUAUUUUAACAGUUUUCUAAUGUCUUAAAGUCCCUUAAAGGAUGGUUAAAGCCCUCGAUAAGAGUUAUCGGAGCAUCAAAAUGCAAUGGGGUAUGUAUGUGGUCAUCUAGGCGAUCGUCCAUAUGUGCUUUUUACCAUGCUGAUGUCCGGUUCUAGGGGACUUUUGUGUUUAAUAGGUAGUUUGAUUUCAAAAAGGAAUAAAUGCAUUGCCUUAGACACAUAUAACAUAGGCCUAACAAAUGCAAAUCAUUACUAUUCCAUUGAAACCUUUCUUUAAGACAUUCAAGUAUGCUUUAAACUUAUACUUGCUAACCCUCAUUUAAGAUGCUUAAACUUGAACAUUAAAUUACCUAUCUACUCUUUGUUAGAGUGUUCAUUGUAUUUUUUCUUUCAAUUGCAAUUUAGUGAGAUUGUAAGAAAUGUGUAUGAAUAACAUCUUGAAGUUAUAAAGAACCUGAUGGCCUCCUAUACGUAAUGUGUAUACUAGAAAGGGGAAGAGGAGUGUACUGCCACCUGGCAGCUAGUUGUAAUAGUCUUAGUACAGGUUGGAAGGAGUGUACUGCCAGGUGCAAUUAGCCAUAACGGUCUUAGUACAGGCUGGAAUAACUUUAGGAAAAAGAUGGAAUUUGUGGAGCAGCUGGCUGUUGUGUGAGUCUGGUGGGAGAGUGAUAGCCUCUCGAAUAGCCAUCUUUGUAUCUGUUUGGCCCUUUUCUUGAAAUUUUGGAAAUUCAAUAAUAUUGCUAGUAAUUUUUUCUUCAUUAGAUACCUAUCAAUUUGGUAUCAGAGCAUUGAUCCAGAUGACUCAGAAGAAGAAUGAUGGCCGGGUGGAUUCUCUGGAGAAGGAAGUUGGAGAAAUCAAAGAGGAGAUGCAGCGCCUACUGGGAAUGGAAAAGACCGUGAUGGACCUUGCCUAGAACAUGAUGUGAGUUCUGCAGUUGCUGAAAUUGACACAGAAGGCAGUGGGGGUGUUGUCAUCAGGGCGGGUCACGACGAUUCCUCAUUGUGAGGGAGGCAGGGUGGAUCGAUGCAUGGGAGUAUGAUUGCUACUCAAUGAGAAGACCAUGCGGAAUGGAUCCCUGGAGUUGGGGAAACCAAUGGGGGGUUGGAUAGUGAUGGAUGAGAUGAGGCGAGGCAGAAACGGGGAAUGGCAUGGAGAUGGCACUUGGAGAUGCCUGUGUUUAUGGGAGACAACCCGAACGACUCGAUCUUUCGAGGUAAUCAAUACUUCAUAAUGAAUGGACUCACGAAAGAGGAGAAAUUAGUUGCCCCUACGAUGAGUCUUGAUGGGGACACACUUUCUUGGUACCAGUGGAUUGAUUCGAGAGAGGCAUUUGGGAGCUGGGAAAAUUUGAAGAGGCGACUGCUGCUCCGCUUUCGUCUGACUCAAGAAGGGAGCCUUUGUGAGCAGUUUCUUGCAGUGCGUCAGGAAGGGAUAGUGGCGGCUUACUAGCAGGAGUUUGAGAUUCUAGUUGCUCCCUUGAAGGGGAUUUCUGAGGAGGUAAUAGAAAGCACAUUUGUGAGCGGACUGCUUCUUGAGAUUUGGGUUGAGAUACAUUUUCUGCAACCAUGUGGGCUAGGCCACUUGAUGGAAAUGGCUCAACAGGUCGAAGACAGAAAUUUAAUCUUGUGGGCGGCCCAUGAACCAAGGGACCCAAAGAACACCAAAAUAUUGUCGUUCGCAAAUCGGGGGGAUUGGAAGACUAGGGAAACUUUUCAAACUAGGGCAAUGACUACUAGUGAUGUGAGAUUCUGAGUCUCUGACAAAGAGAUUGACGGAGUAUGAGCUCCAAGCCCGUAGAGAGAAGGGACUUUGUUUUUAGUGUGAUGAGAAGUUCUCACUUGGCCAUCGUUGUAAGAAGGAAUUAAGGGUUUUGCUGGUGCACGAAGAUGAGGAGGAGGAUAAUCAGUUUGAUGGUGAAGCAACUGUGGAACCUCCACUGAUUGAGCUGAAAGAUGUUGUGAAGUUAUCUCUAAAUUCUGUGGUCAGUUUAACAACAUCGGGGACUAUGAAAAUCAAGGGGACGAUCAAGCUGAAUGAGGUAAUCAAUCUUGUGGACGGUGGGGCUACCCACAAUUUUUACCCCUUGAUUUAGUUCAAUGAUUAGCACUUCCAUUAACUACAACAACCAAUUACGAGGUGGUGAUGGGAAUUGGGAUAUCCGUGAAAGAGAAGGGCAUUUGUAGGGGAGUUUGUAUUUCGAUGCAGGGGCUCACUGUAGUGUAAGAUUUUCUUCCACUUGAAUUAGGCAACACUGAUGUAAUUUUGGGAAUGCCUUGGUUGGGGACUUUAGGAUACAUGGAGGUAAAUUGGAAGAUGCUAAUGAUGAAGAUCAAAAUGGGGAAGUGGUGAUAUUGUUAAAGGGAGACCCAAGCCUCAGUAAGACCAAGGUGUCUCUUAAGGCAAUGGCUAGAGCAUUGCAGCACCGUGGCUAGAGGGUGUGGGUGGAACUCUAUCAAAUUUCCACCGAUUCAAGUUCAAGUGAAGGAGUAUAGGAGGUCCCAAAAGCAGUCAAAGAAGGACUAGCUCAACAUCAACAAGUCUUUGGGCAAAUGACGGAGUUACCACCGAAUCGUAAUAUUGACCAUGCCAUCCGAUUGAUUUUGAGAGCGCCACCAGUUAAUGUUCGUACCUAUCGAUACCCACAUAUUCUAAAGAAUAAAAUAGAGAGAUUGGUACAAGACAUGAUUGAGGCAGGAAUUAUUUGGCCUAGCUUAAGUCCAUUUUCUAGUCCAAUGUUGCUGGUUAAAAAAAAAAAGAUGGAGGAUGGAGGUUUUGCAUAGAUUAUUGUGCACUCAACAAAGUUACAAUUCUGGAUCGGUUCCUUAUUCCAGUAAUCAAUGAGUUACUUGACGAACUUCAUGGCAUAACCAUUUUUUCCAAGCUAUACCUCAAAUAUGAUUACCACCAUAUUUGAGUUCGAUAACAAGAUAUCCAUAAAACAGCGUUCCGCAUCCAUGAAGGUCACUACGAGUUCUUGGUGAUGCUUUUUGGGCUAACCAAUGCAUUGACGACCUUCCAAUCGUUAAUGAACCGUAUAUUUCGACUACAUCUUUGGAAAUUCGUGCUUGUAUUUUUUUAUGACGUACUAAUUUAUAGCAAGGACUUGAAGGAGCAUUGUGAUCACUUGCAAAGGGUGUUGUUCAUUCUGGCUAACCACUAGUUGCACGCCAAUGAGAAGAAGUGUCUCUUUGCUAAACCGCAGCUAGAAUACUUGGGUCGUUUGGUUUCUACUGAGGGGGUUGCUGUUGACCCCAACAAGUUUCAACCAUGAUAGAGUGACCCACACCCAAAUCCCUCAAAGAAUUGCGAGGGUUUCUUGAAUUGACCAGGUACUACCGUCAAUUUGUCAAGGGAUAUGGAGAUAUUUCUUGGCCCCUCAGUUAGCAACUCAAAAAGGAUGCUUUUAAUUGGAACCCAGAGGUUGAGAUUGCCUUCCAAAAGUUGAAAACAGUUAUGACAACAGUUCCUAUUUAGGCCUUGCCCGAUUUCACUCAGCUCUUCAUUGUGGAGACGGAUGUCUCGAGGUAUGGUUUAGGCGCUAUUUUGAUGUAAGGUCAAUGACCGAUGGCUUAUUUUAGCCAAGUCCUCUCGGUAAGGGUGUGACAAAAGUCCAUAUAUGAAAGGGAGUUAAUGACUAUUGUCUUAGCAGUUUAGAAGUGGCGUCACUACUUGCUUGGUCACCACUUUAUUGUGCGAACGGACCAAAGUAGUUUGAAGUUUUUGUAGAGCAAAGGGUGGUGAAUGAGUCGUACCAAAAGUGGGUCACAAAGUUGUUCGAGUACAAUUUUGAAAUUCAGUUUCGGCCUAGAUUGGAGAAUAAGGCAGCUGACGCCCUAUCUCGCAUCCCCAUAUCUAUUGAGUUAGGUACCCUCAUGGUUCCCAAUCGCUUGGACACUUCGGUGGUUUAUUCACAGGUUGAAGCUAACCCUCACCUUGCUAAGAUUUGACUAGGGUUGUUGGUUAAUCUAGAUGCUUAUCCUUGAUAUUCUUUGGACCAUGGCCUUCUUGUCUACAAGGGGUGCCUAGUUCUUCCCAAGGCCUCACCCCUUAUUUUGACACUUCUUCAAGAGGGCAUGCUAGCGUGGUUGGAGGUCAUUCUGGGUUCUUGCGGACUUACAAAUGGCUCACAUGGGACUUUUUUUGGGUUGGCAUGAAGAAUGACAUCAAAGGGUUUGUGGAAAAGUGUUCAAUGUGUCAACAAAAUAAAGUCUUUACUUUGUCACUGGUUGGGUUAAUAAAAACCAUUGCCUACUCCAGAAAAAAUAUGGGUUGAUGUGAUGAUGGACUUUAUUGAGGGGCUCCCUAAGUCAAAGGGUUAUGAUUCCAUCUUAGUUAUUGUUAGAUUGAGCAAUUAUGCUCACUUCUCCUUGCUUAAGCAUCCUUUCACAGCCUAAAUGGUGGUUGCUGUUUUUGUUUGUGAUAUUGUCAAAUUGCAUGGAAUUCCCUAUUCCAUUAUUCCGAUCAUGACAAAGUAUUUCCUAGUCGAUUUUGGAUGGACCUAUUCCGAUUGCAAGGUACCUCCUCUGUCGUGGUACUGCUUACAUCCUCAAAUAGAUGGAUAAACGGAGGUGGUCAACUGUUGUGUGAAGGCAUACCUUUGAUGCUUUUCAUAUGACAAGCCUCGAUGUUAGUCUACAUGGCUUCCGUGGGCGGAGUACUAGUAUCAUAACAUGUUCCACGCAUCCACUAAUAUGACAUUGUUUUGAGCGAUUUAUGAGUAGGAAGCCCCAUCAUUGCUACGUUAUGGAUCAGAUUCUACAUUUGUUUUGCCAGUGGAUCAGUUGCAGUAAGAGCAUGAUCGAAUUUUAAAUGAACUGAAGGACCAUCUCAGUUGUGCCCAGUCCAAAAUGAAGUCAUCUGCAAUGUCCAUCGUCGUGCAAUGCAAUUUGAAGUUGGGGAUUUUGUCUAUCUCAAUCUUCGUCAUUACCGUCUUCGUUCCCUUGCAAGGCGACCCAAUGAAAAGCUCUCUCCAUGGUAUUUUAGCCCUUACAAGGUGGUGCAGCAAAUUGGUCUAGUGGUGUACAAGUUAGAGCUCCCUUCUUCCACAACUAUUCAUCCAGUGUUUCAUGUUUCACAGCUCAAGUGGGCUCUUGGUUCAGCUGAUUUAUGUCAGCCACUUUCCCCUAGUCUUGUUGAUGAUUUCGAGUGGCUUGUGGAGCUUGAUCAAGUCUUAGGUGUUCGACAGUCUCCCAAUAUCAAUCCUCCUAUUAGUGAAGUACUUAUCCAAUGGAAAGGACUUCCGCAGUUUGAGGCUUCAUGGGAAUCACUCGACAUGAUUAAGGAGCACUUUCUUGGCUUCCACCUUAAGGACAAGAUGUCUUGCAUUGGGGGGAGGGGGAGGGGGGUUGUCGAUGAUAGGCUUCCUAUACGUUAUGUGUAUCCUAGAAAGGGGAAGAGGAGUGUAUUGCCACCCAUGGUUUGAAAUAUUGGUAAACAGGGAUAUAUCAGCACUUGAAUUUUACAGAUAUAUCGGAAAUAUCAGAGAAAUAUCAAUGGAUAUUUUGACAAAAAUAUUGGUAAGGGGAAAAUUAUUCAAAAAUCAUGGAAAUAUUUGGAAAAACUCCAAAAAAUGAUAAAAUAAAUAAAAUAUACAUGUUAAAAUUAUUUCCUAAGUGUAAUUGACAUACAUAUGGUUAAAGAGAAAAAUAUCAAUAAGUAAAGAUAAAUCAAUAUUAAUAAUUUAUUAUUUAUUAUUUAUCUAAUCAAAUUAAUUUUAAUUUAUAAAAAAUUAAAACUUCAUUAUUAUUAUUAUUAUUAUUAUUAUUAUUUUAGUAUUUUUUGAAAAAAUUUAUAUUUUUAAUAUUUUAAAAUAAAAGCAUUCAAAAUUAAAUAAAAUUAAAAUGAUAAAUAUAAAAAAUUUAAAAGUGAAUUGAUAAUAAUUUUUUAAAAUAGGAUUAAUGAGAUAAAUGAUGAUACAUUUAAUAUUAAAACUAUAAUUUAUUUAAUUCAAAUGCAUUCAAUAAUGUAAAAUAAAUGAUGAUGCAUAUAUGAUUUUUUAAUAUUUAUAUUUUUUAUAUUUAAUUAUCACAUAAACGAUAUUAAAAAAUAUUUGUUGAAAAAAUUAUAAUGAUGGAUUUUAUACAUUUAUUAAUUAAUUAAAUAAAAUUUAAAGUAAAAUAAUUAUAAUUAAUUAAUUAAUUUUUUAAUAAUAAACUUUAACAAAUUUAUUAUCAACAUAUAUUAUUAAGUGUGAACUUGGCCCAGUGGUAAUUAGGCUUAAACCCAAGCUUUUUGGCUUGAGUUCGAAUCCCCUAAGCCGCAGCAGCAACGUAAACAUUUCAAAAAAGUUUUGACCACCAAAAAUAUUGAGAAAUAUCCUGAUAAAUCAGAAAAAACAUUUCACCGCAAAAAUUGACGAAAAGUCGGCCGAUCGAUUAUCGAUGAAGAAUAUUAUGUCAGUCAGCUCCGAUAACUGAAAUAUUUUUGCCAAAAAAAUCCAACAUUUCAAACCAUUCUGCCACCUAACAGUUAGUUGUAACAGUCUUGUAUCUGUUUGACCCUUUUCUUGAAAUUCUGGAAAUUCAAUAAUAUUGCUAGUAAUUUUUUCUUCAAUAGAUACCUAUCAGAACCAUCUAGAACCUAGGGAAUCUAAAUGUAAAUAAGAUUUAAAAGAGUCUUUGUUGAGAAGAUUCUUGGUUUGGUCGAACACUUUAAGGCUUGUGAAGGAGCUCAAAGACGUAGACAUAGGGGUGUUACUAAACCACAAUAAAAUCACAAUGUUUGUAAUCUUUCUUCUCUUAAUUCUCUUUAAUUUCAGUACUUUACUUUUAUUAUUUGCAUCAUAUAUUGUUUGUAUUUAAAUUUGGAUAAAAAGUUCAAAAAGAGACCACCCAAUUCACCCCACCAAUCCCCACUCUCCUGGGUGAUUACCUACAUUUGCUUAGCAAGACUACUUAAAUAUACACAACUGUGAUGGCAAAUCAAGACUAGCAUUGUUGUUGGUCAUAAGAAUUAAAUUGCCAUUCUAAGUAGAUACAUUAUAACAGCUCUGGACAGUCUAUAUGUCUAAUUAUUAGAAAUCACAACUAGCCCUAUAGUUCCAAUAAACUGAACAUAUAUUUGAAAAAAAAAAUCUGGAAAUUCACAAAAAGUUCCAUUAUCUCUCUCCAUCUAUUUGGAAUUGAUAUCACCAGCCAAGGUCAAUGAUUCCAAUUCAUAUACAGUCAGAACGCCCAGAGUAGAGUGUGAUUCCAAUAUUUUCUCCUUACCAGGUAAACUUUUCAGGCAUCCCCAUAAUUUUAGAGAAAUAUAAUUGGUUUUGUCCAAAAAACCUAUUCUUGUUUACUCUAUUUAUCCUAAAUUACUUCAUUUGAUCUCAAAUAUAAUUUGGUUUUUCCUUAAGCUUUUCAUUGAUGCUCAAUGCUCACUCCACACACUUAAUUUCUUAAAUUGCUAAUGUUAUCCUCAGUGGCCAUACAAUAUUCUUUCUUUUUUUUUUUCUUUUUUUUAGACAGAUAAAACCAAUUGCAUUAAAAAUAAAAAUGCCACAAGGACACAUCAAUGUACAUAGGAUGUAUACAAAUAGCACCUAACAGCACAAAAACAUGAAAAGAACCCAAGCAACAACCCCCACCCUUAACCAGAACCCAACCACUCAAUGAAAUAAAGUAAAGACUAAGAAUCUAUCUCUAUGUACUUCUUUACCUAAGUGAACAAAUUCCUAAGAAAGAACAUCUUCAAAAACUAAGCAAAAUGCUCCUCAUUAUCAUACAACCUGAGAUUUCUUAUUACACCAUACAAGAUUCUUAUUACACCAUAAAGGCCCCUAUAUUUGACAGAUAUGCCUGGUUAAGUAGAAGAUUAUGCAUGGAAAACCUAUUCUAAUUCUAUGAUAAAUGUCCUACUUCAUGCCAUCUUCCUUUUGAAUAAUUGGAAUGAAAUGGCCUGUUCGGGAUAUCUACUAAUCAAUGAUUUUUUAAUUUACCAAAAUUUCUCUUCAAGUCAACCUCCAACACUGAGAAGUUCAUUUCUACAAAUUUCUUUGCUAUGUUGCUCCCCUGGUUCCAAGCCAAGAAAAACCACUAAAAUCAAGAUCCCCAACAAACAACCAUCAGUUGAGGUUCAUACACACAGAUACUGGGAAAUGGGACAUAGGCCUUCAAUCCUAUAUUCAAUUAUGACUAUCUUUUGCUAAAUGCCGAUUAAACCAUACUGGAUUCCCUGCCUAAUUGAUAAAAAUAUUGUCAAAAAAAUGCAUAUACAUGAGUUACAGUGUUGAAGGGGAAUAACAACAUAUGGAUUUUAUCACUUCUAUGUAAAACAUUUCGAAUAUUACACUAGAAGAACUUAGAAGUUAUCCAGCAAGCAUACAUUUCACUAAAGAAAGCAUACGCUGUGAACAUGAUUGAUUAGUUCACCAACUUCAACACUUCAUAUCAGCCAUAUCUCCUUGGCCAAAUCAAGGAUGGAACAAGACUCCACAAAAUGUUCUGAAACAUGUGUGCAUAUGGAUAGUUCAAAUAAGCUAUAAAAUUACUUGCACAAAUUUUCCAGCAAAAAAAAUGCAAAAAAUAUUCAAUUGAAGACUUUAUUUUAAUUGCAACUAAUCAUAAUGAAUACCAAAUGCAUAUUGUGAAAGUCUCAAGUGCAGAGUUUGAUACACUGUUCUGCAAGCUUACUGUUAGGCCUUUGGUUCACCAACUACAAAUGGAAGGUUGAAACAAUCAAACCUUGGGCAGCUGGACCACCCUGAAACCUACACAUAUUUUUUUUGAUAAGUCCCUGGAGUCUAGACUAAUUUCGAUUAGUUCUUGCUGCUACAUGCCUAUUUGAUGGGAGGCAGUUUUUUUUUGGGUGAUUAUUAACCAACAUUUUGAUUAAUUAACACUAAAGCUAAACCUCUUUUGAGUUACAAUUAAUCAACAUUUGGAUCCAAGAAAAUUUUAAAGUCAAAGUCAUCAAUAAGGAGCAAACCCUAAAUCUGCUUUGAGUUACAAUGAAUCAACAUUUAGAUCAAAGAGCAUUUUAAAGUCAGACUCAUCACUUAGGGAACAAACCCUAAAUCUGGCAUUUUGAUUCCAGCCACUUUCCAAAUUUAUAUGAAUCAGAAAAACCCGCAAAAUAACACACCGAUUAGUCAACAAUUGAACAAGAAAUCAAAUCUAAAACCUUAGUCAUGUCUUUCAACAAAAUACCUCAAAAUGAAGACAAAUCGAACUCCAUACACAAAGAAAUUAAAGCAAACGCAACGCAAAUCAAACACGACCCACAUAAGAUUAACCCAAAAUGAGAACGUAACACUCAAUACACUUCAAUUUUCAUUUGAUUCGCCAUCUGGCUCCCCCCAUUUUCCAUCCAAAAACCCAUAACCCCAGGGUCCCCAACCAACAGAAAAUGCAACACAACAGUCCAAUUACCUGUGCCAAUCGAGACCGAGAACGGCGGUCACGGAGCGAACAGAGAGAACUUCAAAGAGACAGGUGGAGAGCAUGAAGAUCAUCGAAGCAACAAAGGGCAAAACAGAACGGAACUCCAUGGACCAGUGCUUGUAGAAGGGGACGCGAGCGACGGCUACUAGAGCGAGCACUGACCAGAGAGCAGGCAUUAGCCAGGAGUGCCAUGCCGGAGCCAGGUACCGGAGGUAAUCAACAGCCACGUAGGCUAUGGCGGCCACACCUAGUCCCCCGGCCCUCGCCCUCGCAGUCACCGGAGGUCGCCACUUCAUAGCUGUGGAGAAGAGAGGGAGCAGUGAUCCAAGCAAAAUUAUUUUUCAAAACAUCGUUCCAUUAAUAUUCGUUAAAGAGAAUAGUAACGGAAGCUAUCUGGAAAGCCGGGUUCACAUUCCCAGAAACAUGCAUCCAAAAUAAGAAAGAAAUUUUUUACUUUCUCUAAUUCUUUUUAUCUUUCAUUCUCUCAAUUUUCUCAAUUCUUUUUUAUGAUUUUUUUCCCUAUAAAUAUUAUUAUUAAAAUAAUAUAUAAUUUAUUUCUAUUACUUUAUUUGCAUUGCAUUUAUUCUUGUUUCACAACGAUUUAUCAACACAAAUUGCUUUGAAGGUAAUUAUCAUAUCUUAAACUUGAAGUUAUUUAUAUAGAAUAAAAUUUUACAUAUUUAUAUUAUUGUUGAUUUGUUUUGUCAUAUAUUGUUAAAAGUUAUAAACAAAUUAUUUAACUUUGUUUAUAAUCAAAGUUAUACCAAUGCUAUCAAUUUAUUAUAACUGAUUCAAAUAAUAUUGUUUUGUCAUAUAUAUAUGAAGUUAUUUGACAAUAUCGAAUCUCACAAAACUCGAAUUUGUAGCACUUGAUAUUUCAGGAAAGAACUAUCUAUCUUGGAUCUUGAUGCUGAAAUACAUCUUGAUGUAAUGAAUUUUGGAGCUAUGAUCAAAGAAAGAAAUAAAGCAUCCUUGGAGGAUCGUGUAAAAACAUUGAUUUUCCUUUGUCAUAAUCUCCAUGAAGGUUUAAAAAAUAUAAAAAUAAAUAAUGAGCUUUUGAUGAUAAAUCACCAGUCUCGUCUAACUAGAUUUGAACCAUUCCUUGAAAUGAAUACUUCCUUGAAAUGAAUACAAUAUCGUCAUAAACUCGUGGACGAGGACGUGGUCGUGGUUGUGGAAGAAAUCUCCGAUACCAUGGUUCUUAUAGUAAUAAUUCAUCAAAUUCUCAAAAAAUGAAAGCCUCAUUGCACCAUCAGAAGUGGAACAAUAUUGAGGUAUAACAAAAAAAUGGGAAGUGUUUAUAAGAUAAAUCUCCUAAAAACCAUAAGAAUAAUUGUUAUAGAUAUGGCAUGAAGGGACAUUAGUCGCGUACAUGUCGUACGCCCAAACGUUUGGUUGACCUUUACCAAGCAUUAAUAAAAGCAAAAGGAAAAGAGAUAGAGAUGAACUUUAUCGAUAAUAAUGGAUUGGACCUAACCUACUAUGACAUAGAUUUCUUUGGAGGUCCCAGUAAAAAACAGACCAUUUAAUAAAUGAUGAGAAGAUUAACAUUGAUUGAUGUUAAUUUAUAUAUCAAAUAAUAUAGUAUUAUGUUUUAUAUUUACAUCUGAUUUUUUUUUUUUUGUUAUUUACAUUAUGCCUUGUUUUUUUAGUUAUAUCUGAAAUCCAUGUGUUAUUUGGUCUCAAGAUGAAUGAGGAUGAUGUAUGUCUCACAGACUAUGCAACCACGCACACAAUUCUUUGAGAUAAAAGAUAUUUUUUCGAAUUGACAUUAAUAAAAGCUAAUGUAAGUACCAUAUUUAGUACUACAAACUUAGUUGAAGGCUCUAGAAGAGCAAACAUAACACUACCAAAUGGAACUAGAUUCCAUAUAAAUGACACUUUAUAUUCUAGCAAAUCUAGAAUAAAUUUGCUCAAUUUUAAAGAUAUCCGCAGAAAUGGAUAUCAUAUUGAAACUAUGAAUGAAGAUAAUGUAGAAUAUCUUUACAUUACUUCUAUUAUAUAUGGCAAGAAGCUUAUAAUGGAAAAACUCACGAAUUUCUUUUCUAGGUUGUAUCAUACAACUAUAAAGCCUAUUGAAUCAUAUGUUGUCGUGAACCAGAAGUUCAACAACCCAAAAGUUUUUUUCCUUUGGCAUGACAGACUAGGUCACCCGAGGUCUUCAAUGAUGUGUCGAAUAAUCAAACACUCACAUGGGCAUCCACUAAGGAACCAGAAGAUUCUUUUGCCCAAUGAAUACUCAUGUGCUGCCUGCUCACAAGGUAAAUUGAUAGUCAGACCAUCUUUUACUAAAGUCAUAUAUGAGUCACUAGUCUUUUUAGAAAGAAUACAUGGAGACAUAUGUGGGCCUAUUCAUCCACCAUGUGGACUAUUCCAUUAUUUUAUGAUCUUAAUAGAUGCUUCUACUAGGUGGUCACAUGUUUGUCUCUUUUCUACACGUAAGGUUGCCUUUUCUAGACUCCUUGCACAAAUAAUCAGAUUACGAGUACAAUUUCCAGAUUAUCCAAUUAAGACAAUACAUCUUGAUAAUGCUGGUGAAUUUACUUCUCAAACAUUCAUUGACUAUUGCAUAUUAGUAUGGAUAAAUAUUGAGCAUCCUGUUGCUCAUACUCAUACCCAAAAUGGUUUAGCAGAAUCCUUCAUCAAACAUCUCCAAUUAAUAGCUCGACCAUUACUAAUGAAAACUAAACUACCUACUUCUGCCUAGGGACAUGCUAUUAUGCAUGGUGCAACUUUAGUUCGUAUUCGACUUACAACUUACUAUGAAUACUCUCCUUCACAACUUGUGCUUGGAAAACAACCAAACAUCUCUCACUUGCGAAUCUUUGGUUGUGCAGUAUACGUACCAAUUGCACCUACACAACGCACCAAAAUCGGUCUCCAAUGAAGACUUGGGAUUUAUGUAGGUUUUGAUUCUCUAUCUAUCAUAAGAUAUCUUGAGCCUUUGACAGACGAUGUUUUUACAGCCUGCUUUGCGGAUUGUCAUUUUAAUGAUAGUGUUUUCCCAUCAUUAGGGGGAGAAAAGUCGAUUCCUGAAGAACAACGAGAAAUUAGUUGGAAGACAUCUACUACUAUGACUCAUCUUGAUCUUCGUACAAAUCAAUGUGAACUAGAAGUUCAAAGGAUCAUUCAUUUGAAAAGUCUUGCAAAUCAAUUACCAGACGCAUUCAUUGAUACAAAGAAAGUGACAAAGUCUUAUAUUCUGACUGCAAAUACUCCAACACAGAUUGAUGUCCUUGUAGAACAGUUAACAAAUGAAUCUAAGAUAUGCUUGAAGCGUGGUAGACCUAUUGGCUCAAAGGAUGUAACUUCCCGAAAGAGGAGAACCCAAGAAAAACUUGGCACUAUAAAAUAGGCCAUCAAAAUGACUGAUCAAUUUAAAAUUGAUAAAUCUAUAGCCCCUGAAGAGGCACAUAUUGAACAAGAAGCCCUUGAAGAGGCACAUGUACCUGAAAAUUGUGAGAUCUCAGUAAGUUAUGUACACACGGGAAAAAAAUGGGAUCAAAAUAAUAUUGUUAUUGAGAAAAUAAAGGUUAUGCUUAAAUAAGAAAAACACCCAAAAGGGGAGUGAAUUAGGUUUUUCAAAAACUUUUUCAACACAAAAAAUUUAAGUACAAUAUAAUAAAAAAUAAAGAGAUAGAGUUAUAGAAUUCAAACUUGGAUUUUAUAGUGGUUCAACACUUCUUUACCUAUGUCCACUCUUUUCAAUCUCCUAACUGAGUGAGGUUUCUACUAACUUAAAGCUUCAACCAAGCUUUCAAUUUUCUUACACUUGGAUUCCGACUCCAAUGGGCUCUUACACAAUUUCUUCAAGAUUCAAACCUCUUGAACAUUUUAACACUCAAUUUUUACAAGAAUGAAUCCCUCAACCUAGCUCAAAGAUAACUCAAAUACAAAACAAAGUUAGGAUGACUAACAAGGAUGCAUUAAAAGAUAUGCAAGUGAGGAUUUAAUGCACUAAAAAAGAAAUGAGAGCUUUUAAGCCAAGAACAAGUGGGUAGACAAUUGAUUGCAAGUGUUCUCAAUUUAUAAGUUUCUAAACUCGGGAGCCAAGAAAAGCAAAAGGUAGUCUCGACCGGUCGAGUUGGGGGUUGACCGGUUCACUAGCCAUUGGAGCAUUUAAUGUUUUGACAGGUUACCAUUGCCUAGACCGGGAAGAAGGAAACCUCAAUUGGGAAAAGGAAGCUACUGGAUGAGAAAGAGUGUUUUUGGUACUCCUCGAUUGGACCUCGACCGAACAAGGGCAACCGGUUGAGCCGGUUGGCCAGAACCUCGACCAGUUUAGCAUUUUGGCCCCGAAAACCUAUCUUUUUCAAUUCCUUUCUUUUCUAACACUUAGGCAAGGUCUUUAGGUAAAUUAAUAUGCCAAUUUUAAAACGUUUUGCCUAAGGUACAUUUGAUAAAACUCGAGUUUUAAUGAAAUCAAAAUUUUAAAGAAUAAACUGAGUUUUCAAAGAUGCAUGAAAAUGUAUGAAAAACCUAAAUGCACCCAUGCAUUCAUCUUACAUUCGUUUCCUAUGAUCAAAAGUCUUCCAAAAGUCUCGAUCUUGUAUCCAUUUGGUCAUUUGAUGAAUUUCCGAAUUUAUACCUGAGAUUCUUUUACCAUUCAAAUCAAUUAGUCACUUAACCAUGAUUGGUUAUCAUCAAAACCUGAUUAGGAGAACCCUUGGGCUAACAGUUAUUAACAAUAUUUUCGCUUUCCAAGUAGCCUCUGAUAUCAUAAGAAAUGAUGAAGAUCUUGAACCAAAAAAUAUGGAAGAAUACUGACAUAGAAAUGAUUGGCCAAAAUGGAAAGAAGCUAUACAGGCAAAGUUAAACUCAUUAACAAAAUGAGAAGUUUUUGGACCUAUAGUCCAAACACCUGAAGAUGUAAAGCCUGUUGGGUACAAAUGGUAUUUGUAUGAAAGCGUAAUGAGAAUAAUGAGAUUAUAAGAUAUAAAGUGCAAUUAGUAGCAUAAGGUUUCUCGUAGAGACCUGGUAUUGACUACGAGGAAACAUAUUCUCCCAUCAUGGACGCAAUCACAUUUCGUUUCUUAAUUAGUUUGACAUUCUCAGAAGGACUGGAUGUGUGUCUCAUGAAUGUUAUUACAACAUAUUUAUACAGAUCCAUGGAUAAUGAUAUAUACAUAAAAAUCCCUAAAGGAUUUAAAUUGCUUGAAGUAAAUAGUACAAAGCCUCACAACAUGUACUAAAUCAAGUUACAAUGAUCGUUGUAUGGAUUAAAGCAAUUUGGACGCAUGUGGUACAAUCAUCUUAGUGAAUACUUGCUAAAAUAAGGGUGUGUGAAUAAACCUAUAUGCUCAUGCAUCUUCAUUAAGAAAUCAAAAACCGGAUUUGCAAUUAUUGUAAUGUAUGUUGAUGACUUAAAUCUUGUUGGAACUCUUGAAGAGCUCACAAGAACAACAAAUUACUUGAAAAAUGAAUUUGAAAUGAAAGAUCUUGAAAUUUUUUUUUUCUCGGCCUAUAAGUCGAGUAUUUUCCAAAUAGAGUUUUAGUACAUCAAUCAACAUACAUUAAUAAAGUUUUGAAACAUUUUUAUAUGGAUAAAACGCAUCUUUUAAGUUCUCCAAUGGUUGUCCAAUCAUUUGAUGCGAAAAAGGACCCAUUUUGUCCUUGUGAAAAAGAUGAAGAAUUACUUGGUCCUGAAAUACCAUAUCUUAGUGCUAUUGGUGCACUUAUGUAUCUUGCCAAUUGUACACGUCUAGACAUUGUUUUUUUUUUUUGUCAAUUUAUUAGCAAGAUACAGUUCCGCUCCCACUUGAAGACAUUGGAAUGGUAUUAAACAUAUAUUGCGUUAUCUUUGCGGAACUACUGAUACGAGUCUAUUUUACUCAAGGGAAUCAAAGCAACAAUUGCUUGGAUAUGCAGAUGCAUGAUAUCUUUCAGAUCCACAUAAAGGUAGGUCACAAUUAGGGUAUGUGUUUAAUUGCAAUGGUACUGCUAUUUCAUGGAGAUUUGUCAAACAAACAAUAGUGACCACAUCGUCAAAUCAUUCAAAAAUACUGACAAUUCAUAAAGCAAGUUGUGAAUGUAUAUGACUAAGAUUUAUGAUCCAGCAUAUUCGGGAAUCAUGUGGACUCUCCUUUAUCAAAGGUGACCCGACAAUAUUAUUUGAAGAUAAUGUUGCAUGCAUUACACAAAUAACAGGGAGUUAUGUUAAAGGGGAUAGAACUAAACACAUUUCACCAAAAUUAUUUUAUACACAUGAAUUCUAGAAGAGUGGUGAAAUUGAUGUGCAAAAAAUAUGCUCAAGUGUUAAUCUAGUAGAUUUAUUCACAAAAUCAUUGUCAACCUCAACAUUCAAGAAGUUAAUACACAAGAUUGGAAUACGUCAACUCAAGGAUAUUGACAUGAGGAGGAGUAUGCUUGUAAAAGGGUGUUAGUGUACUAUACUCUUUUUUCCUUCGUCCAGGUUUUGUCCUACUGGGUUUUACUAGCAAGGUUUUUAACGAGGCAAUCCUAACAUACCAAGAGCAACUUAAAGAAUUAUAAGAAUAUUGUACUAUUUUUCCUUCGCUAGGUUUUUCCCAUAAUGUUUUUUACUAGCAAGGUUUUAAUGAGACAUAUUCUUUAAUGUGGUGGACAUCCAAGGGGGAGUAUUAUAACUGAAGUAAUAAAUGUCACCACAUUAAUUACAAUAAAUGUUAAUUAAGUAUUAUUUAUGAUUUCCAUUAAUAUUCAUUAAUGGAAACUAUUAAUGUUAUUUAUGAGUCUCAUUAAUGGAAACCAUUAAUGUUAUUUAUGAGUUCCAUUAAUAUUCAUUAAUGGGAAUAUUAAUGGAAGCCAUUUGGAAAGCCCAUAAAAAGGGCUUCCCAUCCUCUGUCAUAUGCAUCCAAAACAAGAAAGAAAUUUCUUACUUUCUCUCAUUCUCUCUAUAUUUCAUUCUCUCAACUUUCUCAAUUCUCUUUUGUGAUUUUUUUCCCUAUUAUAUAUUAUUAUCAAAGUAAUAUAUAAUUUAUUUCUACUAAUUUAUUUGCGUUACAUUUAUCCUUGUUUUACAACAAAAAAGUAUUUUUAAAUACGCCAUUUGACCCAAAAAAAAGAAAAGAAAAGAAUUUAAGAAAAUGCAAUAUGAUAUUAAAUCUGAAUUUAUAUAACAUUUUCUUUCAUAGUAUAUGCCACCUCAUUUUUCAAAAAAUUUCUUUCCAUCCCUUUAAUAAAUAAAUAAAUAAAAUAAAAUUUUCUUUAUUUUUUAUUUUAAUAAAUAAAUAAUUUUAUUUAAAAUUCAAUGGUGAUUUGAGGGGAGCAUAAAGAAAUUAACGUAAAUGUGAUACAAAUAUUUUAAUCUUUUUAUUUAUUUUUUCAUAUUAUAGUGCUUAUAACCAAAUUUUUAUUACAAGUAUGAAGGAUUCAAUAAAUAUUUAUAAAUUUCAAUCAAAUGGUAAUUUGCCUGAAAUUUCAUUUAUGCAUUAUUAAUAUCUCAUAUUAGUCAUUAAACAUCAUUUGUAAAAUAUUUAGAGAGUGUUUCUAUUUGAAGUGUUUUUAGUAAAAGUGCUUUUUUUGACAGUGUUUUUAAGAGAAUCAUCUAUCAAGAGCCCGUUUGGCAGUGAUUUUCAAAACUGUUUCUACCCUUAAAAACACUUUUCAGUGUUUUUGGGAUAAAAAUAAAGUGUUUAACAAAUUUUUAAAAACACUUUUGAAAAUCUGGGAAAACACUUAAAGUGAUUUUUAGAUAAUCACUUGACAAGUGUUUUUUAAAAAAAACACUUCAAAAAAUUUGAAAUAUUCCAAAAAUGCCCCCAAGUGAUUCCUGAUAUCUUCCUUCCUUUUCGCUCAUACCUCUCUCCUUCAUUCUCCUCCUCCAUCGCUCUCCAUCCGAGACUACACAGUAGGAAAGACACUCCACUUUUAUUCAACAUCGUUGAUCGGAUCGAAGGUAACCCUCUGUUCUUUUGUUGUUUUUCUUUUCUAUUUUUUUUUUAAUGUCUGAUUGUCUUGAAAUGUUAGUUAGGGUUUUAGGUUUUAGGAUUGUUUAGUUAAGAGAAAAAUAUGAGAAAAUGAAACUUGUAAAUCCUCAAAUGUUUUUAUAGGAAUUACUUCCAAGCCUUAACAAUUUUAGAUCUAUUUUUCAAUAGAGCAGUCGAGUCUCAUUUCCCAGUACUUCUCUCUCUAAAACUCUCAUUCUCUAUUUUGGUUCACAUAUGAAAUUGCUCUAUUUAGGGUUUUUGAGUUCACAUAGUCUCGACAAUUCAAAAAAGCAACAUUUCAGUUCCCUAAAAUUCAACUACAUUUGAACCUAAACACAUGCAAUCUUUUAGAAAUCAAUUGCAGAUCAACACAUAUCAUAAUUCUCAACUCGAUAUCAGAAAUUAAACAUAGCCAAUUCAAUUAAAAGGAAUAUAAAAACUAUUGAUUCAACUUAUAAAUAAAACAUCAAAUCAUAAAAUUUAAAACUGAAAGACUAACCAUGCAUUGCUGAACACUGAACUGGAAAUCCCAUAAAAUCUGAAUGUUGAUGUUAUUCGAAAUCUUGUUGUUGCCUGCAACCGCUGCAUUUCAGGUAUGAUUAAAAAAAAGGAAUAAAAGAUAGAAAUCAGGAUCUUAACUGACGAAAUGGAGAAACUUACCGGUGAAGAGAGAAUAUUGAAUGCCAAAAAUGAAAAGAAAGAAGAAGAGGGCAGCGUAGAUAAGAUGGAAAAUAGUGAAUCUCAUCUUGUUGGAAGAGAACCUACUUAGAGGAUGAAGAGGUCUCAUGAUUGAGAUUCGUAGACUGAUUUCAAAUCAAUUUUCGUGUAGAUCUCUGCUAUAGCUAAUAGGGGGACUAUGGAUUGUUUACAGUUCCUGCUUCUUGGAGUUGUACCUUCUAGGUUGAGAAUGCCUUCUAUGUGUUUUCAAUAAGUUAUAGAACCACUCCUUUUUCCCAGUUUGAUCUUAGGUUUUCUAUGUCAUAUUGGGUUGUCCAUCUUCUGAACAUGGGCUAAAACAUCAUCUUUGCAUUCUCAAUGAGCCAAAUUCUAGAGUCAUAAUUAAGCUGCUCAGUGACACCUGCAAGGGAGAAAUGAGCUGGUUUCAGGCAAGUCAUAGAACUCAUUGCGAAGAGGUGGAAUUGACUUCCUCCUAUAUGUGAAACAUUCCAACUAGUUUUCAGAUGGUCAAGACUUGAUUACAUUGCAAUACAUGUCUAAAUGUAGAGAGGCGGUUAGAGUAUGACUUGCAAUAGAAACAAAGAAAAUGUAGACCCAUUAAAUCAAUAUCCUGAUGCAAAGAAAAAAAAUUUAUGAGAGAAGCGGAACUAAAAAAUUUAGUUUCUACCAAAUUUAGGAUUUGUAGGCUUUGUAUGUAUCUUCAGUUUCUACCAAUGAGGAUUUCUUUUCAACCAAGAUUAUUGCACUUGAGGAUUUCUUUUUCUUAUUUGUUUAUUAUGCUUUACAGAAUUUGCCUAUAUGAUGUUCAAUACCGAGUUUACAUUUUAAAAUUUUAAUCAUACCAAGCAUUGUCUACACUAGAUAACCAUAUAUUCUUGAUGUUUUGUUCCUUAAUUCUUUUUUUAUUCUUCAUUUUAAUUGUGUGAUUCUUUGUUUGAAAAUUAUUAUUUCUCUAAAAUAUAUAUAUUUUUAAAUAGAGAAUGUCUAGCAACAUUGUUUAACCAUUACAACAACCAAGUGGUGGAGAAAGUAAAAAACAAAGCAAGGCUUAUUGGGAUGAUAUUACAAUGGAUGCUUUUAUCAAAGUUUGUGUGAUUGAGACCUUGAUUGGAAAUAGACCAAAUAAUCACUUUAACAAGUUGGGAUGGAAAAAUGUGAUAAAAGCCUUCAACAAUUUGUUUGGAAGAAACUAUCAAUAUAGGCAACUUAAGAAUAAAUGGAGUUCUCUUAAAAAGGAUUGGGAACUUUGGAAUACCUUGAUUGGGAAAGAGACUGGCCUUGGGUGGGAUCCUAUGAGACAAACCAUCAAUGCAAGCAAUGAAUGGUGGGAUAAGAAAUUGAAGGUAUGUUUUGUUUAUUCAUUAAAUUUAUUUGAUUAAUUUAUAUAUUGGUUAUGAAAUAUGAUAAAUUAAAUACUCUUGUAGGAGAAUCCUGAAGCAAUAAAGUUUAAAACAAAAGGCUUGAAAAAUGUUGAGUAAUUAGACAUACUUUUCAAAUAUAUUAUUGCUACUGGUGAAGGAGACUGGGCACUAUCACAAGGCUUUGUAGGACAAGAUGUUGAUGAUUCAUCUAAGGUGGGGGAACACGAAGAUAAUAUAAUAGAAGACCAAGAUGACUCUAGUUGCAAUCUGCCACUUAAUACUAUCUCCAAUAGUUUUGAAGCUACUACUCAACCUUCUAUGGCAAAAAAGAAUGAAGGAAGAAGAAAGAGGAAAAGAAAUGAAACCAAAUAUGAGCUUGUGGCUAUCCAGUUAGAGCGCAUUUGUAGUGCUGUGGAGAAUAGGUCUUCUAUCUCAUCUAAAGGAGAUAAACCAGGUUGUAGCAUUGCUGAAGUGAUGAAAAUCAUACGUGGGAUGCCUGAAGUGAAGAAUGACUUUGAGUUAUAUAUGAAAGCCACAAAUAUCAUGGUUGUCAAGGAAAAUAGAGAUAUGUUUGUUGCAUUAGAAGACCCAAUUGAUCAGAUUGCAUGGCUUAAACAUAAACAUGUUUGAGUGUUGGAGUUGUUUCUUGUUUUUAUAUGGAAACAUAUUUUUNNNNNNNNNNNNNNNNNNNNNNNNNNNNNNNNNNNNNNNNNNNNNNNNNNNNNNNNNNNNNNNNNNNNNNNNNNNNNNNNNNNNNNNNNNNNNNNNNNNNAAUUGAUCAGAUUGCAUGGCUUUAAACAUAAACAUGUUUGAGUGUUGGAGUUGUUUCUUGUUUUUAUAUGGAAACAUAUUUUUGUUACCUAAUAUUGUUUAGUUGUUAGGUUGAGGGGAGGAAAGAGAUGUUGGUUUGCUUUAUGUGUGAAUUGCAAAAGUCAUUAUGCCCUUAUUUGAUACUUUUUAUUAUUUCUUUCUCUAAAAAUUGUGACUAUUAGAUGAGCUUUGGUGGUAAACUUCUUAUAAAAUUUGGUAUUGUUUUUCAUUUUAUUAAUGUGUAGUUCCUCUGUUCUUUUUUUAUAUUUCAUCUUAGUCAUUUAACAUUUUUUUUUGGGUUUAUUUUUUCUAUAAGAUAUAUUUUUUUAAUAUAGAAUGUCUAGCAAUGGUAGGAAUUCUAAACUUCAAUUGUGUACUUUCUAAUUUUUAAAAAUAACUAUAGUAAUUGAAAAUAUACAUUAUUGUUGUUUAUUAACGUAUUUCUUUUUUUAUUUUUAUUUGUGUAGAUGUCUUCUAAUAACAAUGAUCAAAAUUUUGAUGAUGAAAGCGAUGAUGAACAUGAUUUUUAUCAAUUGGUGCUUGGGGGUUGUGUUGUAGCUGCAACACAUACUAGUUUCAAAGGAAAAAAAACCUUGUAGAACUUCUUCCCACACAAGAUACAAGUUUGUAAUGGAUGUCUUAAAUGGCUAUGAAAUUAGGUGUUUUGAGCAAUUUAGAAUGGAAAAACAUGUGUUUAUGAAUUUCUUAGAAACACUUACUAAAAGGUAUGGCCUAAAAGAAGGUUUUGAUAUGCCCUUAAUAGAGGUCUUAGCAAUGUUUCUCACUACAAUAGGUCAUAGACUAAGCAAUAGGAUGAUUCAAGAAAGAUUUCAACACUCUGGUGAAUCUGUAUCUAGAUGGUUUGAGAUUGUAUUAGAUGUUGUUUGUCUUAUGGCUAUAGAUAUUAUAAAACCAAGUGAUCCACAAUUUAAGGAUGUCCUUGAUAAAAUAAGAAAUGAUGAUCGGUAUUGGCCAUAUUUUCAGAAUUGUAUUGGGGUAAUUGAUGAAACUCAUAUACCUAUUGUGGUUUCCAGAGAUAGAAAAAUACCAUAUAUGGGUAGAAAAGGUAUGGCUACCCAAAAUGUUAUGGCGGUAUGUGAUUUCAAUAUGUGUUUCACAUUUGCAUGGGUCAGAUGGGAAGGCACUGCUCAUGAUGCACGGGUCUUUUUAGAGGCAUUAAGAAGGCCAAAAUUGGGUUUUCCUCAUCCACCUAGAGAUUUGUGAAUGAUAAUAUCAAACUUGUUUUUGUGAUCAAAUUUUUAUUAUCUAAUAUAUAUUUUUUGUUUUUGUUUUGUAGGUAAAUAUUAUUUGGUCGAUGUUGGUUAUCCUCAAAUGAGUGGAUAUUUAGGCCCUUAUAAAGGCGAGCAUUACCAUCUUCCAGAUUUUCGACGAAGUAGUUCACCUAAAGGUAAAAAGGAAAUAUUUAAUCAUAGGCAUUCAUUCUUGAGGUGCACAAUUGAGAGAACGUUUGCCGUUUUGAAGAAUAGAUGGAGAAUGCUACGAGAAAUGCACAAUUUUCCUCUUUAAAAACAAGUAAAGAUUGUUAUUACUUCAAUGGCUCUUCACAACUUCAUAAGGAUUAAUGCUAGAAUGGAUAUGGAAUUUAAACCUUAUGAUGAUGAUCAAGGGUUGCUUCCACUUAAUGAAGAAGAGAGUAGAGUGGAUUCACUUGUUGAGGAAGAUGGUUCACAUCAUACAAGAGAGAUGGAAGAACAUCGUGAUCGAAUUACAAAUCUUCUUAUAUCUCAUUAAUGUUUGAUUAUGACUCUAAUAUCCCUCCCCCCCUCUCCCCCCUUUUUUUUUGCUAUGAAAACAUUUGUUUUCUUAUUUGCUUUUAAUUAUAAUUUUUUUUUGAGAAAUUAAUAGAUAAUCAUAUAUUGUUUUAAUUUGAAAUUUAUCUUUUAUUCAAUCUUUUUUAUAUUGAUUUAGAUGUUUUUUGUAAAUAUUUUUAAAAAUUUUAGUAUAGUGAUAAAAAAUUAUUAAUUUUAAUUAGAAAAGUCUUUUUUUUUAUAGAAAUUAAUAGGUAAUCAUAUAUUGAUUUAGAUGUUUUUUGUAAAUAUUUUUUAAAAUUUUAUUAUAGUGAUAAAAAAAUUAUUAAUUUUAAACUAAUAUAUGAUAUUUAUUAUUUAUUAAUGCAAUUAUUUUUGUAAACAUUUUUCAAAAUUUUAUUUAAAUCAUAAAAAAAAUAUUUUUAGUUUUUUUAACAAUAAUAUAUAUAUAUAUAUAUAUAUAUAUAUAUAUAUAUAUAUAUAUAUAUAUAUAUAUUCUUUUAAGAUACAUGUUUAUAUAUUUUGUUGUAAUGAAAAGUUUUUUGUUUAUCAUACUAUUUUUUUUAAUUAAAAUUGUAUGUCAUUUUUGGUAAUUUAUUAAUAUUAAAAGUGUUUUUUUAUACUUAUACAACAUAUUAUCAAAAACACUAUUAAAAUCAUUUUUUUGAUUCUCAUAAAAGUAUUUUUCAUAGAAACACUACAGAAGAAAACACUUCAAAUAAAAACACUUCCACUAGAAUCACUGCCAAAUAGGCUCCAAGUGUUUCUUCAGAAAAGAUAACAAGUUAUUUUUCAUAUUUUUAAAAGUGCUUCUUAAAAUUUGUCAAAUACUUAAUUUUUUUUUUCAAAAACACUUUUUAGGCUAAAAACGUUUCUUAAAAUCACUCUAAAUGAAUUCAAAGAUUGUAUUUGAUAGUAUUUCCAUUUAAAGUGAUUUUUCAGAUUUUUAAAAAUGUUUUAUAAAUCUUACCAAACAUUUAAUUUUUUUUUAAAAAAAUACUUUUAAGCUAAAAACGAUUUCUAAAAUUGUUGUCAAAUGGAUUUUAAAAAUACAUUCGAUAGUAUUUUUACUAGAAAUGUUUGUAGUGAAAACAUUUUUAGAAAAAUCACCAAUCAAAUAUUUCUCAAAAAACAUUAUAAGUGAUUUUCUAGUAUCACAAGUAAUUCUUCAAAAUUUUAAAAGUAUUUCCUAAAUUUUGUUAGACAACCUUUUUUUUCUUUUUCAAAAACACUUUUUAAUUUAAAAAUGCUUCCUAAAGUUACUAUCAAGCAAACUCUAAUAAACAUAAACUACUUAUAGUUUGAAAAUAUUAUCUAAUUUUUUAAAAGCCAAGUUGAGGCGAAAAAAAAAUUAAUGCAAUUUAAUUAGAUAUAAUUUAUUUAAUUCCUAGAAAAUCAUAGAACUAGUAAAAUAGUACUCCGUUCUCGCUUGUUGGAGAGCUUUGUCAUCUUAAGAUGGGGUGGUGGUAAAAUGAUAACAAAAAUGAAAAUAAAAAUUUAAGAUAUAUUUCUUGAAAAUAAAAUUACAAACAUGCUUAUUUAUUUUUAAUGAUAACAAAAAUGAAAAUAAAAAUUUAAGAUGUAUCUAUUAAAAAUUAAAUUAUAAACAUGUUUAUUUUUAUUUAUUUUUUAAAUCAUUUGUAAUAUUUUUCAAAGAAAUAUGAUUUUGUAAAGAUAAUUUUAAGCAAAUAGUUCCUAAAAAAACCCUAAUAAACACUCUUUUAUGAAUGUGUUUGACAAUAUUUCUAUUUGAAAUAUUUUUAAUCUAAAUAUUUUUAAGAUAAUCACCAAUUAAAGGUUUUUCUAAAAAAACAUUAUAAAUUAUUUUUUAAUACCAUAAGUAGUUUUUCAGAUUUUUAGAAGCGUUUACUAAAUUUUGUUAAAUACUUAUACUUUAUUUAAUAAUUGUUUUUUAAAACAGUUUUGCAGAAUGGUUUUUAAUAACAAUUUUUAAAAAUUAUUGAAAUGUUUUAUAAAAUAAAAGUCUGUUUGGAAAAUUGAAAUGUUUUUAACUUAUUUUUAAUAUUUUUAAAUAUAUUUUAAAAAUAAUUUUAUAUCCCAUACUUUAUUUUUAAUAAUUCUACUUGCUUAAAACAAGUGAAAACAAUAAAAAGCAACUAAAAAAAUAUUCUCCGAAAGCAUGUUUUUUGUUCUUAAAAACAUAAAACAAAAAACAAUUUCUAGUUACCAAACAUGUUAUCUUAUUUUUUGUUCUAAAGAAUAAAAAACUGUUCUCAAAAAGAGUUACUAAACAUACCUUUAGGCCUUAUUUGAUAAUUGCUUUUGAAACUAAUUCUAAAAAAUAGUUUUUAAGAUUAAUUUUUGAAAACCGUUCUCCAAUAUUUUGUUGAAUAAAAAUAUGAUUAGGAACUAAAAUAUUUUUAAUCUGUUUUUAAUAUUUUUAAAAAUACUUUUUAUGUCUACAACUUUAUUUUAAUUAUUAUAUAUGUUUGUAUAAUUAUUUUUUUAAAACAACACUAAAAUAAUAGUGAAAACAACUAAAAGAUGUUCUCUAAAAAUAUUCUAUAUUUUAUUUUUGAGAAAAAAAACAAUUUUUGAUUGCCAAACGUAUUUUCCAGUUUUUUUCCUCUCUAAAAAACAGAAAACUGUUUUUGAAAACAGCUAUCAAACAUACCCUUAAUUUUUUUCAAAAAUACUUUUUAAGUCAUGAUUCCUAAAAUCAAUGUAUAACCUCUAGUUAAAAUUGCUUCUCAAAUAUGAAUUUGAUGACUGUACCGUCCAUGGUGAUCAGUUACCUUACAGCCCAGUCGACCAGGCUAAAUAAUCCAAAAAUAAUAAUAAUAAUAACUUCCAACUACAACUCAUGCCAAAGAAACUUCCUAAAUAUCAACACACAUUCACCACCCAGUCCUAAAUCCUAUAUGGAAUCAAACUGCAUACUGUUAUUUAGAGAUGAUAUUCUGAACCAAACAAACCCAGACAAGAAGCUCCAACCAUGGCUGCUCUGCAUUCAGAAUGGAACCUCCACCGGAGUUACCCCCAUUUUUUCAAGUGCAGAUUGGAACAUCAUACCCACCAUUCAAUCGGUACACCUUACUCUUUUAUAUGGUCUUUGUCUAUAUAUUUGUCUGGAGUGUGGCAUGUGGAUGGUCUAAAUUUGAUAAUCCUUAGCCAUGACCUUUAACAAAGCUACAAAUAUAAUGACCCUCACAGUGAAUCAUCAAAUGUGAAAUAUCAUAAUCAUCCUAUACAUAUAUAAUAUCCUCGUUGUGGCCUUCACGGGUCUAAAACAAACCCCCACACAUGCAAAAGAGGCCAAUUCAUCCACAAGUGGGAGUUUAUAUAUAACCCACUAUAAAUAUGCCCUCAAACAUGGCCUCAUGCAUCCUUAGGGCUUAGAGUCAUCUCCCAGCUUAGGACACUGCAUAAAAAUGAAGAUUUCUCAUUACUACUGCAUCACUAGUCUCCUGCUUCUGAUUCUCUUCUGCUUUUCAGAGGGCUGGCGCGCUGAUCCCACAUAUGGGUUCACUGUUGUGCCCUUGACAGAAUGGAAUUUUGAACUGCAAAAGCCAUAUGAUGUGCCGCUGGAGGAGCGCUACAGCUAUGAAAAUGGAGUAAGGAAGCUGUGGGUGUAUGCUGAUGAUAAGCCCCAUGACCCUAACAGUCUCACUCAGCCACGGACCGAAGUCCGCAUUCGGGUACUCUUCCUCUCUCUUCCUCUGCCUAUACACCAUGCUUAAACACAGUACUCUCAUUGUGAUCUUCUUGCAGGGACUUGACUACUCAUCUGGGGUUUGGCAGUUUGAAGGGUAUGGCUUUGUGCCAAAUGGAACCUCUGGUGUGACUGUCUCCCAGAUACAUGGUGCAGCUCAGGCCGCUACAACUUUGAUUCUGAGGAUCUACAAUGGUGAUAUGAGGUACUAUAGUGCUGAUCUGAUAGCCACUGGUAUGUAUGAUAGGUGGUUCAGGCUUAAUGUCAUCCACGACGUCGAUGGGGGGAAGGUGACAGUGUUCAUCGAUGGCGUUCAGAAAUUUCAAGUGAAGGAUAAAGGGCCAGGAGACUUGUAUUUCAAGUGUGGAGUUUAUGCUGCCCCGGGUAAUAUCAGCUACUGCAUGGAAUCAAGGUGGAGAGACAUCAAGAUUUACAAAAAGUAAUGGUGAAGGAUUGAGAUCUUUGUAGUCUGUAUUGAGAAAACUCUUGAUUAGCUAUUAUGCAGAUGGACUUUUUCUCUCAAAUGAUUUUGGGAAGGACUGAAUGAUCAAGCUUAGUAAGUCAUGGACUCAUUUUCCAAUCAUGAAUCCAAUUUGAGGUCAUUGAAUCAUUAAAAAAUUGGUCCAAAAUCAACACACCAGUUAGGUUCCAAGUAAUAAUAAAAAACUAAGAAACAUCCAAGGAGCAUAGUCCAAUCUAAGUCACAAAAUGUGUAUAAACUAUAUCCUGAUUUUGAUUUGGAAUCAAAUACGCCAUUGUUUCUACUUUAGAAUCGGUGAGCUGGGCCAACUGCUCGACUCUGAGAAGUUGACAAGGAAUAACUGCAACAAGUUUCAGCCAACAGUUGUGUGCAAUGAAUCUUAUGUUCCAAAAUUUCCAGGAUGCUGGAACAGAUGACUGAAACAUCAUCAUGGUUUCAGCCUAAGUGGGCUAUUCCCAGAAAAAGAGAAGCCACAUCUAGAAGGUUAAUGCUAUUAGUUUUUGAAUCAUUCUUCUUAUAAUGAGAAUGCUUUAAUGCCAAAGUUUUUGCAAUGAGAAGCAGUUUUUAGAACCCCACAGAACUUAAAAGAGAGGAAAGCAAAAGGGAUCCAAAACUGUUUUCAUAAAACAGUUUCUGAAAUGUUUCUGUCUUGUAUAACAACCAUGGUUAAAUUAGAUUGUCCAGCUGCAAUCUUGUGCAAGUCCUCUUCCAUGAAUGCGAAGGCGGGCUUGGACCUUCUGUCUUAGAGCCAUGGCUUGCAGAUUCAGCUUAUUAACAGUUGGAAAACAAGUAGACCAGGAUAAGACUAGCUGAGCUGCACUCUUAUAAUACAGCAAAAGAUUAUGUAUCCCUUUUAUGUUGCCUAGCAAAUUUUACCUCUGUUUAUGGUAUUUUUCUUUCUUUUCAAGUUCUCAACUAGAAUCAGUCCAUUAAAACCUAUCUUUUCAACUGUAUUUCAAUUUUCACCAGAUGGUGGAGAUUAUGGCCCUAGAGAUUCAUGUAUUGGCUGGCCCCCAAUUAGCUCCUCAACAAACUUGACUGCUUCUCCUUCAGGCUUUGCUAUUGUUUAAUGUGAGGAUCUGCAUCCUCCAUGAAAAAAACAAAACAAAACAAAGUAGUCUUCUUCAUAGACCCCCUCAAUGAAGUCAAUAAUUUAAUCAUGUAGUACCUAUAAUUUUGAGCAGUAGACUCUAUACUCCCAAUGCUUCCAAGACUACGACAAAAAUAAAAGUUUUAGUACUAAAAAAUUUCUUUCUUUAAGUGUUCUAAAGAAUAUUUGAUCACAAAAUUCAGAUGGAUACUCUCUCCAACUAUAAAUUGAAAUGUCAAUGGAGACUAGGAAAAUUAAUAAGAAAGUUGAUAGUGGGGGGCACUUUCAAGUGACCUUCAUGAAAGGAGAGGAAAUGUUAAACAUAAACAGCCUUGUGUAAUCUUUGGAGCUGAUUAUAAACUUCAAACAAGGCUCUCACAUAGGGAAUAGAUGAUUAAGAAGAUGGUCAAAUACUCAUCUACAUGGUUCUGCCUAUUUUACUCAUCUCUUCUUUGGAAAUUUCACAAGUACUGCCAUGUUGACUGAUGCUGACCUUUUUAACAUGAGCUAUCAGUUUUAAGAAACAUAUGCUGUAACACCCUUUAGACGAAGUAAACUAGAUCGAUUAGGUAUAACAAAGCUCCAAAUUACUAGGCAAAGAUAUGACUGCACCUGGGGACCUGUAUUUCAAAUGUGGGGUUUAUGCAGCACCAGCUAAUUCAAGCAACUACAUGGAAUCAAGAUGGAAGGGAUCAAGAUAUUCAAAAAAUCAAGUCGGGAAUUGCAGUAACUAUGGCUAGAGUCAUGUAAACUUUGUUAUGUUGUUAUCCUAUAGAACUAUAGAAGCUUGUAUACUCUCAUGUGAAAGAAAGCAGCAGUGUAGAACAUGUCAUUUCCAUCUUUAAAAUCAGAAAUCACAGACUUCAGGCUUGUACUAGAGAAAAGAUGACAAAUUAAACAAAACAUAACAAAACAACAUGGGUUGAUGCCUCAUGGUAAGUGGCAACCUCAGCCACUUACAUUCCAGUUUUCAGUCCAUUAACCAUAGAGCCUAAAGCUUGAACAACAGCAUAAGAAAUCCAAAAUUGGGCUCUCUAUCUUGAGCAGUAACAUUUUGCCCAUCUGGGUAUGCCAGCAAGAAGAAGAAAGUUCACAAAAACUACAGUUCUCUCUGGCAUCUUACAGUUCAUUUGGCUUUACAUCAGAAACUUCCUUGGUAGGCAAAUUGCAAAAGAAAUGCAUUCAAGCAACAGCAAAAUUGAAGGGAAGGGAAAUUUUUUUGAAGAAAUCUUAAUUUGUCGUUUGAUAGUGUUAUUGAAAUAGAAAGAAAAUAUGGUGGAAAUCCAAAGGGGUUUGUAGCAUUUGAAACUCUUUAUUCUAAUUUUUCAAAAAAAGAAUCAGUGUGGGAAAAGGAAGAAUAGGCAAGUACCAGUAGAAGCAAAACUACUACGUCAAUAGGAAUUCAAGCAAAUGAUGAUAACUGAUAUCAGCAACACAAAUUAAAUUGAGUAAACAAGCGCGAUCCAUUAAUUCCACAUCCUCAAUUAGGUACUCUAAUCAACAAGAAGGAAGACAAAAGAAACCUAAUCCUCUUCUUAUACAAGCUCAGAAAGGAAAUCUAUGGUAAUAUCUUGACUAUUAUUAUCAAUCACCUUGAACCGAUCUAGAAGGCCAUGAAUGAAAUGAAUGAAAUGCUGAAGUGAAUAUAUUUUUUCUCUCUUUGUUUUUUUUUUUUUUGCUAAAUGGCACAUUUGUACAGCAUUAUGAGGUAAGCGAGAAGCCUAGGAACCACAGGGAAGGCAACACCAUUUCUCAAUCAGAGAAAAGAACCACUGUAGAGGGUUGGGAUCUGUGUCUUCUGAUGAAGAUGCAGUAGGCAGUGGUAGAUGUGGAGGUAAAUGCCGAUGAAAUGCAUCAACUGCAGCUGCUACCCCAUCUUCAUUCUCUAUCAAUUUUGCUAAUUCCAUUGCUUGAGAUUUAACCUGGGAGAAUCAAAACAUGCCCCAUUGGUUUAUCAAUUCAGCAUAUGCAGGCUACCAUGUGACCUCUCCUUGCAUGAAAGUGGAAAACCAAGUGCCUGUUUGGAUAUACUUCCUGUUUUUCUGUUUUUAAAAUCAAAAUAUAGUAGCAACUUUUAUAUAAGACAUAAGAAUUCUUAAAAGCUUACAUUGAAAAAGUAAUGGUUUUAAAAAAUGUUUAAAAACAUUGAGGCAGAAAAAAAAUAAAAUUUAGACCUCAAAGUUGAAAGUUUUAGAAAGUGGUUUUUAAAAAUAAAAGGCAAAUUUAUUACUACAUUCCAAUUUUAAAAAUAAAAGAUGAGAAGUGUAUCCAAACGGACACUAAACAACUAUACUAAAAUGACGUACCAUUCAUGUGCUGAAACUUUGUGACAAACAUAACAAUUCAUUCUAACACAAUAUGCUCAAUUAAGAUGACCAAAACCCUUUUUCCGUUUUUUUUCCUUUUUCUUUGGUGAAUCCCCAGGAUUGUGCUUCAGGAAUAGAAUUCUCACUUUUUUGUAAAUGGUAAAUGUCAUGCAGUAUAAAAUUACUUGCAAGUCUUUAAAUGCUACUUUUAUGUCCCUCAAUCUACAUUGAUUUAAUAGCUAAAUAAACAUGGUUGUCUCAUGAGAAAAAUAAUUUAAACCAGUUUUGCAAGGAUUUUGUUUCUACAGAAGAGGGAAUUAGGCUGAAGACAGUACACAGUUGUAAGUUGUGAGAGCUUCCAAAGAUGACUUAAAUGAUGAAUUUAUAAAGACCUGAGAAAAUAGAAUUGCCUCAUAAUUCUAGAUGGUAGAAUUUCAUUGUUUUCACUACUUAUCUGUAGGUUAAUGCAUUGAUAUGGCUUUGUGGGACCCAUUAAAUAUGUGACAUUUUCAGAUGAUCUUUUCAUGAGCAAUGGAGGAUAUAAUCAUAAUUACCUCUGGCUGGAGCAUGAAUCGUAUGGCAUCAGUAAGGGUCUCAACACUGAGCUGCGAUAUAGGUAUAGGUGCAGGCCCAAGUCCUCUUUGAUGAAUUCUAUCACCCCAGAAGAACUGAUCUCCAAAGAACGGCACUAUGGUUGUUGGACACUGAAAUUCAAAAUUUGGACGUCAAAAAAGACCAAAAAGUGGAAUUAUAUGCAGAUUGCAUGGUGCUAUGAAUGCAUACAAUCAAAAUCACUUAACAGGGAUUUUUCCCAUCAUUAACAUAAAAAUCUUUCAAAACCUUAAAGGCAGAAGUAUCUCAAACAAAUUGAAAAUUUUAAAUGAAUGUCAUUCUCAUAAUCAAGAAUAUCAAAAUUUGCAACAUUCAAUGAGAGAAUAUUACCCCAGCCUUGAGUCCUGUAGCUGUGGUUCCAGCACCACCAUGAUGAACCUGCAUAUUUGUGGCAAUACAGCUUCCAGUUAAUGGUCUGCUUUACAGACAGCAAAUUUACCAUGUUCAGCAAAAGUGCAUACAAAGAAGUCAUGGUUCUUGUCCCUAGAUUUGGAUGGCAUGACCAUAUUUCUCUGAACAAUACCAACUAGCAAUCAUCUGUUUUUAAUUUAAUUUAAUUUAAUUUAAUUUAAUUAAUUAAUUUAUUUUUGGACAAGUAGAGCAGGCCAAAAAGUGGAACUACAUUAAGUAGAGCCUGUCAAAUUCUUAAUUGCUUUAUCAACUAGCAAUCAUCUGUUUUUAAUUUUAUUAUUUUAUUUUUAAUAUUAUUUUAUUUAUUUAUUUUUGGACAAGUAGAGCAGGCUGAAAAGUGGAACUACAUUAAGUAGAGGCUGUGAAAUUCUUAAUUUCUGUACAACUCACCAAGGCAAGAUAAAAUACAACUCACCACAGCAGAACACCGAGGAAACAGCCAAUCAUGGGGACAUUCCUCCAGAAGAAAAACAUAAUCAGGAACUUCCGGAACUGUAGAAUAGAGGCUGAAGUAAGUGAAUUACCUAUUAAAAGGAGAUACAAGUUUGGAAUUCAAAACAACACCAUCUGUAUUUGAUUUUUGAAUAACACAUCAGGUAUAAUUGACAAUGUUCUUAGGUUUUUUUUUGUUUUUUUUUAUUUUUUAUGUUGAACACUUCUAGAGGAUCUUCAGAAACCUCUAUAUGACAAAGAAAAACAAAUCUCAAUAAGAACCUAAGGUAUUAUGAAAAACAUGAUGUAGAUUUUUUAUGAUGAUGAACUGUUCAAAUAAAACAAAAGUUGAGGGAGAGAGAGAAGUGAGGUCCCAAAACAUAACGAAAAAACAAGAAAUUUCAUUAAAAACUCAAAACAUUAUGAAAGAAGAAUCUGUAUCCUUUUUAUUAUGAUCAACUGUUCAAAUAGAACAAAGAGUUGAGAGAGAGACAGAGAGAAAACAAAUGUGAACACUAGGUUUAGAGAGAUGUGAAAUGGAAUAAGGGUAAAAUCAGAAGUAUUUUGAAGUUUUUUUAGAAUUCUGAUACAUCCACUCCAUAGAGAAGAUGGCCUUUGAUAUAGUCAAACCCAAGUAUUUCCAAUUAUUACAAAAAGAUCUUCAGAUCAAAUAGAUGAAAAGAAUGAAUCAUUGUUUUUGGCUUUUUCUUCAAACUUCACAAUGAAUCAUUGUUUCAUCCCCUUUUCUUCAACAAGUCAAUCUUGUAUUCCAAUGUUCAGGAUCACUUCAGAAAGAAUCAACUAAAAUGAUUCUACGUAGAACUCAACCAAGUCCAAGUGGUUUUUGGCCACAAUUCAACACGGGGACAUCAGAAGAUGAAAAGAAUAUCUUUGUGAAACGUUUGAGAAUUAACCUAACAAACUCAAAUGCAAUCUAGUUAAAAGUCUCUUUCCUUAACAUUUGGUUUCUGAGUGAAACAGUUUGAACAACAAAAAUGAGCCCCUUAAAAAGUAACUUCCUUGAAUCAGGCAAAUAUCACUGAGGCUUCAUUUUGAGAAGUACCAAAUUGUGAAAAUGCAGUUACAUGCACAAUAAGAAUAUGAGCAAUAAAGCAGAAGCCUCUUGCAGUUAUUAUGUCUUGAUUCAAGCACAAUACAAGCUUUAUCAAUGUUUAACACAAAAACACCUAGAUUGAUAAGACACAGGAAAAACUGAAAAUUAUUCUUAUUAGUGGAGAGCAAAGCAGGCAACUGACCCUAAGUUGACAAAGGCAUAGAGUCCAUGAAGGAAUGCACAUCAAACCAGAAGCUAUUACCAAGCAAUAUGUAAUUUUGCCAAACACUCAGAAUUUAAGAUAUAAAGUGAGAAAAAGUGCAACAGCUUAGCACCAAUAAGAAGACACUCACGAAUUCCAAGGCCUCCCCAACCUCGGUCAAUUACUCCCCUCUGACCUGUAUCUUUCAAUGCCUUUAAUAUGAUAUCCGUAGUUUUCUUGGGAUCUUCAAGAGGCUUAACAAGAAACAAAGUAAUCUUUUCAAUUAUAAGCUUUUCAAAAAUAUCAGCAGAAACAGCAUGUUCUACAUGCCAGCAAAAUGAAUCAUGAAUAGAAUAGAAAGUUUAUAUAGAAUCCUUACACCUGUAGAGUAUAUGAAGACAAACAAUGAACUCCACCCAUCACAACAACAAAAUUUUAAAAUUUUGAAGGAAGAAAUUUGACUUAGUAGGUUCAAUAGUACAAGUUAGAAGAAGACUGUUUCUACCGACAUUAUGAUUGCCUAGACUGUCUGAUAGAGGAUUAAGUUAAUUAGUCAUCAAGAUUUUAACUAGGAUACCAUGGCGUGGUUCUGGUCAAUGAAACCCAAGCGAUACAAUGUUGUGGCCAAUAGAAAGACAAAUGAAAGAAAGAAAAAAAUGCUAUAACACAAUCUAGAGAAAAAAAAAUUUAGCAAUUUAAUUUACCUAAAAUAUAUAAGUUAACAGGUUUACUUGAUCAUCAUACCCAGGGUGAAAACCCUCUGUUGCAUAGGAACCAACAAGAAGCACAAAUCAUAAAUCCUUUUACCAAUAGUUUGAAGUAAGAUCACCAUACCAUGCUCCCAAAACCUAUAUAUAUAGGUUUGUCUCCUUUUUGGAUCCACUGAACAAACUCUUCUUGAGGUUGAUACCUGGACCCAAGGUUUAAGAAACAAUAGCCAACAACAUCAACUAAGGAGCCCCAAUCUGCAUUGAAGAAGUUUGGGAGGUAUAAGUGCAAAGUGCCCACAUGAAUAAAGCUGGAUAACGCUUCAAUUUGAUUAAAGUUAACACAGAACCAUGGCCUAGAAUUACUUUUAGGUGCCUCACCAUGUCGCAUUUUAAUUUGGUGAGGGAGAAGAGGAUUAGAAAAGCAGUAGUUAGUUACUGAACAAUCUCCCAGUUUAACUAAAAACAAAACAUCAGAUAAAAUACAAAAAGAAGUAUUGGCUACCUUCUAACAGAAAUAAUUGGCCCUUCAUUUUAGCAUUGGAAGCCCUAAAGUCAAAAAAUAUUGGCAAUACUUCCCCAAUAAUUUUUUAUAUUCUUGUUCUUAUUAACAAUCACCUAAGACGAGGUAAAGGGAACCCAAACAACAUGUAACAUAGGUGAUGUCAAAAAGAAGAAGAAUAACUACAUGACAUACAGCAGAUUGAAGGACAAAAAGGCUGUCCAGGCAUCAAUUUUUUUUGUACGGGCCAAAAAUAAAGUAUGAAAUCUAAGAGACCGUGUAGUUCAGUCAUUAUCAACAAAAGAAACAUAAAAUGGCUAAAUAUAAAUCUCAUAUUAUAGCAUGUUAGUUUGCACUUUGUAUAAACAAAGCCAUUUUCACCUUUUGGUUUUGACACAACAUGGGGACUCCACAUGUAGCCUGUUGGCAGAUGAGAUAUUGACCCAUGGUAAGUACUGAAGUAUGCAAUAGGAGGAAGCUUCAACUUCUUUUUCCUGAAGUCAUUAAUAUAUCCUCUUAUGCCCCACCAUAUCAGCAAAUCCACAACUAUAUAUGAAAGCUGGAUCCAGCAAACAGAAAAUAAGGAAGAGAUAUUUGUAAGCACAUCCAACAAGGGAAAAUGAAAGAAAAGAAAGAAAAGAAAGAAAGACACCAAAAAAAAAAAAAAAAAAAAAAAAAACAAAUGCAGAAGAAUCUGGCAGUAAAGAAAAUACCCAAUAACCAGCACUUCGAGGUACACGAGCCAAUGGAUGAGAAAAUUCAUAUGUUGGCCUGCCUAUUGAAAGCAGAUGUAAGAAGGCAUUGCCUCGUAUAAUGUUCUCCGCAAAAUAAAUAAAAUUUUAAAACAAUGCCUUUGUAGUACACAACUAAAAUUUAGCUCCAUUUGCAUUAUUGGCUAAUUCCCUAAGACCUUAGGCAUUAGGGCACAUGAUAGUCUAAUAAAAAAAAUGUCUCUUCAUAUAAACACUUCCUUUUUUUUUUUAAUGUUACUUUGAAAAUACGAACAGCAACUUAUCUUAACAGAAAGAUCCAGAUUAUUUGUGCACUCAUUUUUUUUUUUCUUUCCAAUGAAUGUUUAAAGAGCAUGCCUUUGGCACACAAGUGUAUUUGCUUGAUUGGCAUUAUUGGCUCAUUCCCUAAUACCUUAGGCUUUGGAUAAGCAAUAGUCUAAUAGAACAGACUUCACUUCAGUUAAACAAUUUGAUUCAUGUUGCUUUGAAAAUAUCAACAGCGAUGUAUUUUCAGAGAUAGAUACUUCCAGAUGAUGAGUUCACUUGUUUUAUCUUCUUUCCAGUGAGUCUCUGUUGAGUGUGGAUGAGAAGAUGAGAAGCAUGUCUUUCUCACUAAGAAUAAACAGACAGGGCCAAAACAUCCUACUGCUAAGAUAACAGACAUUAGGUAAAUGAGACAAUAUUCCAGCCUCUCAGCCCCAAGCCAUAUUGCAAACUAGUUGGUUUUGAGGUUGCAAUACCUGAAAACUACAUCUAUUUUAUAGGUUCUUGGCAGUGGUGGAGCCAGAAAGCUUGGUUGGGGGGGCAAAAUUGUUCACAAAUUUGAAAAAUAUGAUAUCCUUCUUAUCCUUUUAAGGAACUAAGUAGUUUAUGUAUUUAUAAAAGUAUACAAAAAUAUUACAUUAAAUCUGCAACUUUUCAAUAAUGUUGGCAAAAAAACAAAUAUUAAAAGAAUUAAAAAAUGAUUAGAAAUAUAAUUAGAAAAUUUUCAAUAUUUUUUCAUUAAAAAAUCCUUCAAAUUUUUUUUCAAUAAAUUUCAUAAUUUUUUUUAAUAAAAUUUGAGAUUUUUUUUUCUUGAAUAAGUAUAAAAUCAAUUGAAAGUGAUGAAAUCUUUUACUUAAAAAUUACCGAUUAUUUAGUAAGAUCCCUAACAUUCAAUAUCUUGAUAUUUAAACCUUUAAUAAAUUCAUAUAUCAACUUAAAUAAAGUAUAAAUAGUUACAAAGAAUUUGAUACUUAUCAUUGUGUACUGUUCAAAGUAUUUUAUUGGUUAUAUUAUCUUCAAUGGCUAAGACUAAAUAUUGAUCCAAUUAAUGUGAAUAAAUUUAAAAUUUUUAAAUGAUGGAAGAGAAUAUACCAUGAAAAAAAUUAUUUAAUAAAACAUAAGGUACAAAAUGAUAAAAAAACUUAAUUUUAUUCAAAAAAAAAUUAUAAGAUGGAAAAAAAAUUAAGAUAAUGUUAGCAUAUGAGAAAAUAAUGAUAAAGAUAGAACAAAAGGAAACGAUAAGUAGGGAUAUUAAAUAUAUUUUAUAAAAUAUUUUAUUUUUUAAAUUUUAUUUAACUUAAUAAAGUAAGGGUUAAUUUCACUCAUUUAGAUUAAAUAUACUAAGCUCAAUGAGAUCUAGAUUAAACACUUAGCCAUUAUUGACUUGAAAUUUUAUUAAAUAACUCCUUUAUUUUAAGGUGAAAGGAAAACAAAUGAAUAGGAUAAGGGAGGAUAUUUAAUGAAAUUUCAAACUAAUGGUGGCUAAAUAUAUUCAACACAAACCUCAAGGGAGAUGAGUGAAAUUAAGAGUGCGUUUGAUAGCGUUUUUACUUAAAGUGUUUUUAGUGGAAGUGUUUUCUUUGUAAGUGUUUUUAGGAGAAUCACCUAUCAAGUGUUUCUCCAAAAAACAUUGUAAGUGAUUACUCAAUACAAGAAGUGAUUUUUCAAAUUUUUAAAAGUGUUUCGUAAAUUUUGUCAAACACCUAAUUUUUUUUUUUCAAAAACAUUUUUUAGGCUAAAGGAACUUCUUAAAAUCACCAUCAAACAGACUCCAACUCUACAAAGUAAAUUUACUUUUUAGUUUUAUUUAAAAUUUAUAAUAUUAUUUUUAUUUAAACUUUUUGUGGUAUUUGAAAUGUAAUUAUUAUUUUAUAUUUUAAACAUUCAAAAUUAAAUUUAUAUUUAUAGGGUUCAUUUCUAUUUUUUUUUUAAAUCUCUAGUUAUAUAUAAGAUUUUUUUUUUUUUUUUUUGGAAUUUGAUGGGAUAAUACAUAAGAUUUUUUUCGUCCUUUUUUUUUGGGGCGGAUGCCCCAUCGGGCCUUUACUAGAUCCGCCUCUAGUCCUUGGCACAUAGACUGCACAUUUCUAAUAUUUAAACAAAAAAUAUAUGUGUUAGCCUAAUGAUAUCGAGGGCCUAAAUCAUAACAGCUUAAGCUUUUAGAAAAGUCAGUAACCUAACAAUAUGCAACAUAUGUUUCACAAGUGAAGGAGGCACCUAUCACAUAUUAAGCAUAAGGCAGUGCCAGAGUUGUUAACAUGGUUCUUAGUAGCAUAUUUCUGAAUGAGCGGUUCCACAUUCAAAUUAAGAUGCAAGGAAAGUCUAGUUGAAACUCACGUCCAAGGCAUUGUGAAGAAGAUAUGGAGGGGUAUACCAAGAGCUUCAGCAACAUGUGCAUGUCCUACAACUCAAAAAUAUUUUAGAAUUCCAACGUACAUAGUUCAGAAAAAGCAAUGACAAAAGAAAAUAUAAUUAUUUAUCGAAAGUAGAGGAUACAGAGUUAUAAACGCAUCCUUAAGAACUAUAAUGAAUUGAUAACCAAGCAUCAGUUCACAUAACAUUACAACUAAGUUUCUCCAUAAUAACAUGAACAAAAUGAAUUGUCAAAGAGAGUUACAAUAGGACAACAAAAGAUAGGAGACCUAUCCUGACAAGGCCAAUAAAAUUUUUUUAUGGUAGCCCAAUUGUCAACCUAAUGCAAUUUGUGUGAAAUCAAGGUUUGGUUAAUCUCAGUUUUGAUAAUAACAAAACAAGGUUUGGAAGUAAAAAUUAUAUUUCAAGUGUGAUUAGGCAAAAAAAUUUCCAAAGUGGCAAUCACAAAAACAAAAUCAAGCUAAGAGUAAUCAAUAAGAAGAAAAGAUCUCAAAGAGAAGUGUUUUUCAAGAUCUAAGCUUUAUAGGAUCUCUUUGUAAGGUUGUUGGUGUGCUAGGUCUUUCAUGCAUUACAUUAUUAAUUUACGCACCAAAAUCAUUCAAAAGUAAUUUUGUUUUAAAAUUGGACGAUUUCAUGUUUUCAACUAAAACCUUACGUUAAAUGUUUUCCAAACUUGUUUAAAAGGUUUUAAGUUGAAAAUGAUGAUUGUUGAGUCAAAAAUGGCUUAACCGGUUAAAUUGGAUGAGGAACCGGUCGACCUAUUUAACUCAACCGAUCGAAGGGUGCAAAAACCUUCUCUCUCUUCCAGAACGCUUAUUCAACAUGUCAAGGUUGAACCUCAACCAGUUGAGGUCCGGUCAAGGGGCAGUCAAGUUCCAACGGUCACCUGCCAAACAUUAAAUACUAACGGCUAGUCAACCGAUCGACCUUCAACUUGACCGGUCGAACCCCCAAUGGCUAGUUUGGUCAUUUUCCUCUAUAAAAAAAGCUUUAAUCUUCAUUGUUUCAAGAGCUUAACCUUUCUAAACUUUUCCCGAAUAUAUUUGAGUCUUGGGAAAGUGUUUUUGAGUGCACUAUUAUUCUAAAACUUGCAUAUCAUUAGUGCACCUUUCAAUAUUAGUUUUUCUUGUACAUUUGAGCCUAAAGUUUUGUACUAGGAUUUUGUGAUAAUAUUUCCUAUCUUCAUUUGUAAAUCUUUGAGAAGAAAAGUCUAAAUGUGUGAUAUCACUUAGGGAUUCUCAAGUGUGGGGUAUCACUUGAGGUGUUGUUCAAGAGUGGGGUAUCUCUUGAGGAUUGUAAAGGGUGCUUGGAGCCAAAAGUCCAAGAGGGUGAAUUGGAAUCAUAAUCCAAUUGUAUUGCUUGAAGGCUUGGUUUGGAAACCUUGAAAUAGUGGAACCUCAAGCUUAGGAUUGAAGCUAGAGGAGAGUGGACGUAGGCCAAAUUGUGUCGAACCACUAUAAAAAUUUUGUAUUUGCAUUCUCUCUUCCACACUUUUUUACUUAUCUUUAUAUUGUUUUAUUAUAUAUUUGCAUAUAAUUGUCUCUUGUAUUCAUAUAAUUUAAAUUUGCGAAAAGAGACCAUCACUCUAUUCACCCCCACACCUCCCUCUAGGGUGAUUACCUUAGGUUAGAUUAGCCUAAUUUUUCUAACAAUUUGGUAUUAGGGAAAUUGGGGACAAUGGCUAUGGGAAUAGAGCAGGAAAGAACACUUGAGUACCUAGUAGUGCAGAAAGAGUUUUACAGGUGUCCAGAAGAAUGGAUCAUAACAACACAAGCUAUAGACAACUAUAAAUAUUUAUUCUUCUAAUAUUAAUGAUGCAAUCAUGAUAUGGUUGAUUUCCAAUCCAAGAUGGACUUUAUGACUUAGCCUAACAAGGGUUGAAGUCCCUUUCAUGUGCUUUAAUUAUCUCCCUUACUUUUUUUUUCCUAGCGGCUUUAUAUUUUUACUAAGUAGGAAUAUCUCUGUCACACUUUACCAAAAAGUGACAUGCUUGCUUAAGGGUGAGUCUGCCUGGACACCUUAAUUAAGGAGAAUGAAGGCUAAGAUAUGAUUUCAUUAGGAUUUCCCUAAGCAGAUUGUAGGAUUGUCUUGUAGCCCUUUGUGCCACUGUUUUCAAAGAGAAAAAGAAGAACUUCUAAAGUUCUCAAGGUUAGGACAUUCAGCUCUGUUCUAAAGAAAAUUAUAAGCCUUUCAUUUUCUUCUUUCUUUAUCAGCAUUUAACCAUGACCUUGUGAUGUAUGGUAUAUACUGUGCUCAUGUACAUAAAUACAAUCAAUAGAAAAAUAAAAAACAGAAGGGCUAGAAGACGAAAAUAAAGGUAUAACUUCAAUGAACUCACCAUAAGCAGGAGGGUUUGCAAUAAUUGCCUGAGCUCUAAAAGGCACACCAGUUUCUAUAUCUGGUUCUAUGCAUGCUGGAAGAAGAGAUUCAAUAAUGGCCUUUAGCUGCUUUCUUUGUACAGAUAGUUCUCCUGGUCCAGCUGGAAUGAAACCUUUAUUUCUGGCCAUAUCUAAAAAUUAUAAAAACCCGUACUUACUAAUUGAAAAAAACAAAAAAAACAAAAACAAAAACAAAAACAAAGAGAAACCAAGCUGAUAAUAUCAACCAUAUUUCUGAAAUAGUUAAAACAGAGCUUGGGAAUUGAAGGCCUUUGUCUCAAGAGAUUGAAAUCUUGAUCUGUAUCUCACUUCUCACCAAAACAAAAUUUGUACAUUGUUUCUAGAGGUAACCUUAAUAGCAGGGCACCGAUUUGCAUAAAGCCCUAGUUAAAACAUUAAUUUGUCCAUUACAUAAAACUGUUAUGUCUUGCUUGGCAAUUGUUUUCAAGAACAAUAUUUUAUUCUCCAAAAUAAAAAAUAAAAAAUAAAAAAGAAAAACAGGAAAACAUGUUUAAUAAUCAGAAAACUGUUUUUCUUUUAUGUUCUUAAAAACAAAAAACAUGUUUGUUUUCAGAGAACAUUUUUUAAUUGUUUUCACUUGUUUCCUGAGGUAUUUUAAAAAAUAAUUGUAUAAAUAUGAAAAAUGAUUAAAAAUAAAGCCCCAUAUAUAAAAAUUAUUUUUAAAACAUAUUUCAAACCAUUAAAAAUAGGUUAAAAACAUUUCAAAUUUCUAAAUAACCUUUUUUUAUACAAAACAUUAGAGGACAACUUUAAAAAAGUAUUCUCAAAAAUUGUUUUUCAGAAUUGUUUUCAAAAACAGUUGCCAAACAGGCCCUUAUCGUUCCAUCUAAUAAAAAGAAAUCAUAUACAUGUAUUAAAUUGCAGUCUGCCAAGGGUCCGUAAAGGCCAUGGCAAAACAGGUAACAGAAAGGGAUAAUUGUGAAAAGGAGGGUCUAAUAUAAAGUGAUCUACUAAUAAAUCAUCAUGAUAAAGCAAAUCAAAUUUUGUUGGAAAAAAAUAUAAAAUUCCAAAACUAAGAGCCUCUUACAUCCUGCCAAAACCCGAGGAUCACCACCCAAAGGAUAGAAGUCCACACCAGCU
RNAcentral lists this long non-coding RNA (66671 nucleotides) under Vitis vinifera (wine grape). RNAcentral's name for it is "long non-coding RNA (VVIN_LNC006177)". Lineage: Eukaryota; Viridiplantae; Streptophyta; Magnoliopsida; Vitales; Vitaceae. The record is from RNAcentral.